RNAcentral lists this long non-coding RNA (45208 nucleotides) under Citrus maxima (pomelo). Its description in RNAcentral is "long non-coding RNA (CMAX_LNC000521)". The record is from RNAcentral. Lineage: Eukaryota; Viridiplantae; Streptophyta; Magnoliopsida; Sapindales; Rutaceae.
CUGUGUUGUUCAUGAGCUUCUAUAUUAGGUAUCAAAAUAAAGAUAGUGGAGAAUAUGGGACUUUGGUGCCAAUAUGCUUGCCGUUGAGAGCUAUGAAGAAGUUUGAAGAAGAGCUAAAGAAAAUGACUCUCCAAUGACCCAAGGCCACCUUGAUGUAGGAAGAAGUAGAGGGGUCAAAUUAAUUAAAAAUUAUCUUUGUUGAGUAUAACUAUUAUAUAUAUUAUUGGAACUUAUAGUAUUUCGGGAUUUAUAUUUGAGUCAGAUUAUAAUUCCAUCCAAUUCACUAGUAAAAUAUUAAGUUAACCUUUUAACGAGAACAUUUUGUCCCAAAUUAAGGGCAAGUUUGAGAUUAAAAUAACUGAUGGAAUAAGUCGCUUGUAUUGUAUGGAUGAAAUAAUAUGUUGAUUAAAAAAGUAACUUUAGUAAAUUAUGUUGUUAGAGUAGCUGUAUGUUUGAAAAAUGGAGUACAUGUAUUUGGUAAUUUUAUUAUGAAAGAGCUAGUUUAUUAAAUAAUAACCAAAAUAGAUAAGUUCAAAUUGUCUUUUAUUUAUACGUUGACAUUUGUGAAAAAUAAGAUGUAAUUGUCUUUUUGGUAAAAUAUUAAGAUUAUAAUAAAAAUUUAAAAAAUGUGUGGUGACUUAUUUCAUUAAUUGCUUAAAAAGCAAUCCUUUACUUGCUUGUGAAAUUUACGGUCAAAACAGAGAAACUUAUGAAAUAAACAAAUUUAAAAAAUUUACUAAACACCACUUUUGUCAAAGCUUAUAGAAUAAGCCUACAUCAUUUUAACCUUAAUCCUAAAUAGGGCUCAAUGGCUAGUUUGAGAUUGUAGUUAUUGAUGAAGGCCCCAUUCUAUAAGCUACUUAUUUCAUAAUUUUUUAUUAAAAAAUAGCGUUUUGUAAAUUUUGUAAAAACUACUUAUUUCAAAAAAAUUUACAUUUGAAUUGCAACUUUUAUAACAUCUUUGUCGUUAAAUUAUUACUAUAACUUUUGUUCCUUUUAGCUAGCUUUUACAAUAUCAACUCUUGCAACAAUUUUUUUUAGGGCAUUAAUAAAAAAAAUUAAAUUAUCAAUUUAAACUAAAAAAAAUACAAAGAAUAUUUGUUAAUUUUUGUGGAACCUCAUGUAUGUCCCAAAAAAUUUAAUAAUAUAAAAAAUUAAAUUAUGAAUUUUUUGACAUUAAUAAAAUAAUUAAUAUAUUAAUUCCUCAGCAUAGUAUUCAACAAAAAUUAAUAUAUAUUCUUUCUAUUUUAUUUUUUGGGGGUUAAAUUUGUAAUUUUUUUUAAAGAAACAUUAUUAUAAGAGAAUAAUAUCGUAAAAGCAAGACAAAAGUAACAAAAAGUAAUAGCAUGGGAGUUAUUUCCACCCAGCCUCCAAAUGUUUCGACAUUUUCCACCCUGCACCCAAUUCCGUUAAUUUUAUUUUUAAUGGAGCUAUUUGAAAUUUAAUUAAAUGUCUGAAAUACCCCUUAUCUUGAAUUAGAGAAGAAUUAAAUGAGAUAAAAUGCUAAUCCAAUAAUUAAUAUUUACCUUAAAAAUUAUUAAUUAAAGGUAAUUAAUAAUAAUCCCAUCAAUUAACUUAUCAAAUAAGUUUAAUUUAUCAUCAUCAAAUAAUAUUUAGGACAUGAACUUCCAAAUUUGCCCUUUGACUGUUAAAAUAAACAGUCAAAUUAACGGAUUUGGGUGUGGGGUGGAAAUUAUUGAAACAUUUGGGGCGCGGUGGAAAAUAUUGAAACACUUGGGAGCAGGGCGGAAUUAACCCUAGCAUGGGUGUCAAUAAUUUAAUAGUUGAGAUGUCUUAAGGUAUUUUUAAAAAUAAAAAGACUAAAUGAGCAUUACCUUAAGAUCAAUUUCAUUACCAUGGCUUUUAAUGUUCAAUCUACUUAUAUUUUUUCUAUGGCCAUGAUGUCUAUUGCAACAAGUUUAAUGUGAAUGUAAUGCAUAUUACUUUUUAUUUUAUUUUAUUUGGAUAUAUUAGUAUGAAUUUUUAUCAUAUUUUAUGUAGCGUACUAUGAAAUUCAUUUGAUUUUAUUAAUUGAUUUUUUCACUUUAUUGUUUAAAAAAAAAGAAAAAGCAUUUCUAAAUAUUACUAAACAUACUCCAAAAAAUAAAAGAUAAUUUAAAUUUAUGUCUAUUUUAGUCAUUAUAUAAUAAAACAAUACUUUUACAAUAAAAUCUACCAAACGCAUGUAUACUGCUUUUCAAAUCCACAACAAUCGCAAUAAUAUAGUUUACUAAAACACCAAUCUGUUUUUUUUAAUUAACAGCUUAUUUUAACCACACAAAAGAAGCAACUUAUUUAAUCAACCAUUGCAAUUCCAAAUGGCUCGAAAUAAAUUGCUUGUUCUGUACGGAUAAAAUAAGCACCUGAUUGAAAUAGUGAAUUGGUGUUUGGUAUAUUAUAGCGGUAGAUGUAAGUUUAAAAAGAAAAGUGAAUGCAUUUAGUAAAUUUUAUUACAAACGUGUUAUUCUAUUAUUAAUGAUCAGAAUAGGCAAAUAUUUAAAUUGCCUUUAUUUUUGUACUUGAGUUUGUGGAAAAAUAAGAUAGUAUUGUCUUUUAUUAAAAUAUCAAGAUUAUAAUCGAAAUUUUAAAAAUGUAUGAUUGUUUAUUUAAUAAGCUACUUAUAAAAAAUAACUCCCUACCUACUUUAAAAAAAAUCAAUUAGAAUCUAGGCACUUAUACAAUGACUUGGUGUUGUUAAAAGAUAAAAUCAAUGUGGAUUAAUCAUUGAAUCCUUAACAAAUACUUGAAUAAAAUAAUACACCAAAAGCUACACGUGCUACAAUGAUAUUUUGAUGUUGAUAAAAGAUAGAAUCAAUGUGGAUUGAGCAACCAAAUUCUUGUGAAAGUUGAAUACCAUAAUUUAUUGGAUUUUAAUUCACAAUUUAUUUUAUAACAAGUAAAAGAGACGUUAAUUAGGAUAGAUUCAUAAUUGAAUCUAUCCUAAUUAAUUCUUACCUGCAAGUGACAAUUAAUAAAAAAAUUCUCAUCGAACAACCCGACAGAAAAAGCUUCAAACCAGCCUUAUGAGAGUGAGGCCAACAAUAAUUGACGUCAAAUUUAAGAAAUUAAAGGUAAUGGAAAAAAUUAAUAAAUAUUUGAAAACAUCUCCCCAAUUCUAUAAAGCUUAAUUCAAAAGAAUUAAGAAAAUGACCCUAAAAUAGAGUUGAAAGGUUUGGAGAGAUGAAUAAUACAAAAGAAGAGGAGAUGAAUUCAUCCAUUGUGCUUAAUGUUGGUGGCCUUUAUUUAUUUACUUAUUCCAUUAGCGGAUAGGAUUUGGUGGCUGAUUGAGAGAUUGGAUAACAUCGAUAGAGUAACCAUAUCAUUUGCACUAAAAACUUUAGUUAUGUUGGAUUAUAAUAGCUAAGUUGACCAAAUGGUUACUAGAGAUACUACAAGAUAUUCAAAUUCUUUUUAAAAAAAAAUCAAUUAAUUUAUAUAUCCUUAGUUAGUUAAUUACUUCAUAUUGAUAAAUAAUGAAAAUUAUUAGCAUAUGCUUCGAUUAACUGCAAAACGAAACUUCUUAUCAUAUUAAUGCAAAUUUAAAGUUUGUUAUAACUAAACAAUUAUAUAUAAUAUCUAUUAUGUGAUUACUGGGUAGAUUUUAAUUACUCUUUAGCCUAAAUUGAUUGAUAGAACAUCUUUAACAUAUAUUUUAAAGUUAAAUGAAAAAUUAGUGAGAUAAACAAAAGAUAAAAAUAGAUAUUGACACACAAAUUAUAAAGCUAUAUUAUUUUUAAUAAUUCAUAGUUAAGUUAUGUUUCAAAAGAUAAAUAAAUUAUUGAAAUAGUUCUAAUUAGAUGUUGAAAUUAAUUGUAUGACCGAUCUUUGACAAUUAGACUAAUUGAAUAAACAAUAUUUCAACAAUAAUUAAAUGUUAAUUACUAAUUGUCUAAUUUUUUUAUUAGAUGCAAUGAAUGUUAAGUAUGAAGUAUAUGUUCCAUGUUCCACAAUCAAUGGUAUAAUACAAUUAUGAAAACUAUUAAACUCCAUUUAUUAAAAUUGUCACUAGAGUACAUUAAUUUGAAAAUUAGCUAGUCUCCAUAUUGAUUCAAUAACAAUUAUGAUCACUCAUAGACAUUAUUUCUAUAAAUACUUAACUAUAAAGUACCAAUUAGUUCAAUAAUGAAUCUCUAAAUUGAUUAUUAAUACAAUAAAGAAUUAAACCUUAAUGCAAGUUUCAAGUUUGUUUAUAAGAUUGAAUGAGAUCAUAAAUAUUUUAGAGUUUUCUUGGACUACAAUACUAUUUUGAAAUUGAUUUGAUGUUUAGUUGUAAGAUAUCGUACAUUAUAUUUAUGUUGUAAUCAAUCAAUCGUACUUAUAAGUUAAAUAAGGUAAUUCAAUUUUAUUGUUGCACCAAGUAAAACCUUAAGAAAAAGUCAAUUCCUUAAUAAUCAUUUAAUAUAUAUUAUUUAUUACUUCAUGGUCAAGUGGUAGACACUCUCAUAAUUUUUUUUUUGGUUAAGGGUUGAAAUUAUCUGUUCGUUGUAGAAUUUAAUUUUAUUUUAAAAUUAAAUACAUUAAUUAAUCAUUUGUUUAAUUAUCUAGUUCAUGUUUGAUAAAAAAAAAAUAGAAAACUAAGAAAAAAAAUUACAAUUACUUUUCUGUUAGAUGAUAUGUAAUUUUAUAUUAUGUUUUCUUACCCUUAUAUUUUUGCUUUGACUGACCUUGCAAGUUAUACCGGUGAAAAAUAUAUUGGCACUUAUGUUGCCUCUUAAAAUUGUAUAUCCUUUGGAUAGUUUUUUCUACUAACUCUUAGUUACAGUUAAAAAAAAUUUAUAUUUCUAACAAAAAAUUACAAUUAUUGAAAAUAUCAUUUUAUUUUCAACUACAUUUUUGAAAUGGUAGAAAUAAUUAUACAUUUCAAAUGGUUAGUUACGGUGGUUGUAAAUACCAAUCAAGUAAAAUAGAUUGGAGGGAGAGAGAGAGAAGAUAAGUGGUGUUAAUUAUAUUUGUAUUAAUCCUUAAACGUAGUUGUAAUAGAAUAAUGAUUUUAUGAUAUUAAUGGAGGGGUGACAAUUUUACAACUCAAAAUCUAUAAAUAAUCUUUCAUGCUUGAUUGGCUCAGUUCGACAAGAGCCCCAAUUCGAACAAUUUUAAAUCUGAAAUAAACAGGCCCAAUCUUGAUCUUUGAAACAUGUAAUACAAAACAUUAAUAUCUCGGGAGCAAAAAUUAGAACAAAUUUCUAAACUCUACUCACAAACCUUUCCUCUUACUGAAAUUUUAUACUGCAGAAGUUCCCAGAACUUGCAGUAUCUUAGCUCACACCCCAUUCAUGAUUCACUAGACAGGAAUCCUUUUCUGAAACAGUAGUUUCGGGUUUUGGUUUAUGGUAUAUUUCAUUAUUCAAAAAAUAAAUAAAUAAAUAACGUGUACGUACAUAAAUGCAUGAUAAAGAUUUUGACUGAAAGUUACAUGUCAGUGCAGAUGGUCCACCGACCUUUGUUCCGUACGACCUUAUCCUCUGAGCUAUGAAUGGCAGGACGCAGUUUUGAUGCUGUUUAUUCACGUGAUUUUGAAAUAAAUAAAAAGAAUGUUAAAUGAGUGAGAAAUAUGAGAGAAAAUGUAUUAAAAAGAAAAGGAGAGUGGGUAAUAAAGAGAGAAUAAAAUUCUCUCAUCUUUCUUUUUCUUUAACAUUAUAUAUAAAUCAAUUAUAAGGCCUAAGGAAAAAUGAAUUCAUCAUUCAAUCUAAAGUAACUAUUUAUUUAAUUCUUAUCACAAGUGAUACAUAUGAAAAUUAUUCAAAUUAAGGAAGAGAGUACAUACAUUCCUUUUGAAUUUGACAAUUUCUGUGCUAUCCAAAAAAAAAAAAAAAAUUCUUGUAUCACAUGUGUAUUUAUAACAACAAACGAAUAAACACUCAAUACUAAAAUACAUGUGACAAUAAUUCAGAAGAAGAGAAUAUAUAUUUGAGGAGCACCUACUCUUUUAAAUUUGGAUCCAGUUAGGGGUGGGUGAAAAAAUUGUUGCCCUAAAAAAACUGAGCCAGAUCGGUUUAGUUUUUUAAAAUUAAAAAAACCAAUCAGUUUAUAUGAGGAAAAAUCAAGAACAAAAAAAAUUAAAAAAUAGAAAGAAAAUUAUGGUUUAAAAAAGAAGAAGAAGAAGAAAGGAACCUAGUUGGGAACCGAACAAUUGAUUCGGUUGGGUUCGGAUUAUUAUUUCUAUAAAAAUUGACGGUUCAAUUCAAUUUAAAACCAAGCCAAGCCAAACCAUCCUCAUCUCUAGAUCCAGUGCUAAUCUAAGUUGUGUUAUUUUAUUAUUAAUGUUUUCAUUCGAGAAUUUAUUAUCUUCAAUUUGUUCCAUUACUUUUGAAAACAACCAUUUUCUAACAGUUUUAACUAACAAUUUUAACACCAAAAAAAAUGCUGUUUAAAUUAAUAAAAAAAUCUUAUUUGAGGUCCUUAAAAUUCAAAAAAGAAAAAGUCUUCUUAAUUUCAUCUCCAUAAAAUCAAAAUCGUACCCAUAAUUUGUCGCAUGAUUUCAAUUGGUUAACAGGGCUGUACGUGGCCAAGGGUAUGGUUUUGAUGGCCGCGUGGCCAAGCUUUUAGUUUCCUGGGCCGCACAUGGCCAUUUGGUUGCCUUGAUCGAGUGGCCACGGGUUUGGUUGCGGUAGCUAAGGGUUUGGUUUCCAUAACCGUGCAUGGCCAAGGGGUUUGGUUGCCUUGGUCGCAGUGGCCAUGGGUGGGGUUUAGUUGUGUUUGAGUUCUUAGAAUUUUCAAAGCAGUUGUAAUUGUUCAAAAGUAUUCAAAUUUAGAAUUUUGGCUUUAAAACUUUGGAUUAUGGUAGAAUCUUCUUUGAUUUUAAUUUUACUUUAGUUUUUAUUUGUGGAUAGUUUAUUUGAAAUUUUUUAUUAACGAAAAUUUUGAGAGAGAGAAUGUUGCAAUUGUACUGCAUUUAUUUGCAGAAAAAAAUAAAUUUUAUUAAGGGAUUUCUUAAGUUACAUUUUAUGUAAUUUACAACACACUAUUCAUGUGUGUGGGUGUAAGUCACAUGAAUGUAACUUAGUGUUUGCCUUUUAUUAAAUGAGAUGAAUGAACAUAAGAAAGUGAGAUUUAUCAGAUGAAAAUGAAUCAUGUUGAGAAUUUUGAUAUUUUGAAACUAAAUUAAAUUAUGCUAAAGUACAUCUUUGUCCUCUAAAAUAUAAAUAAGGGUAACGGUCAUUUUAUCUAAUAAUAAAUAUAUGAGCAGAAAAAUUGAAAGACUUGACUUCUUUUGGUUAAUUUAAAUGUAUAGAUACUAUUUUGCCUUUAUAACCAUUAAAAUCAAUGGAAAAAUAAAAAGUUUUAGAGUAUAACUUGAUAUUUUUAAAACUAGAGAAGAUAAUUUGAAAAUAAUCUAUUGAUGUGGAGUAAUUCAAAAUUUUGCCUUGCGUGUAACACAUGCAUUAAUUUGUCUCUUAUGCAUUAAAAACCUAUGAACAGGCAAGCAUUCAAUCCUUGUCCCUUUCUUUCAAUUGUAAGUUUGUAAUUUAGAGUGGUGAGCCACCACUUUCAAAGUUAAGAAGAACUAUGAGGGUAGUGGUUUGAGUCUCUUAGUCCGUUUGAAAGUGUGGUGAGGUAGCUGGGCUGCUAAAGUCUAGCUACUAAAGUGUUUGGUAACACUUGUAGUUGGGUUUUGGUAGCUUAGUAAAUUUUUUUUUUUCAACUUCUACUCCACAGCUGUAGCUUUUGCUUCACAGCAGCUGCAGUUUAAAAUCUACAACACCUCACUUCUAAACACACCAUCUAUAGACUCAAUCUCUCUUAAUUAAGUAAAAAAUUAUGUGGAAUUAAUUUGUAAGUCUUUCUCCCUUACGAAAUGUGAGUGUAGCUGAGACAUCCAUUUUUUGUAAAGGUUAUAUGUAUGGGUAUGUACUUCAUAGAAUUAUUGUAAUAAUAUGUCUUAAGUUAUAUAUCUGAUUAUAAAUAUCAAUGUAAUGUCUGAUCUAAUAACAAUUAUAAAUAUUUAUGUACUACAGUAAUAUAAUGUGUAAUUAAUAUUAAAAAAAAAAGUUUGCAAUUUAUAGUCAAGGUACUAGGAAUCCUGUGUCAAUGCACCAUUACGAUUUGACAGGAAUUGCAUGCGGUGGAGACUUGGUACAAUGAUAGCCCCCUGGCCCUGCUGCACCAUAAAUACCAGGCAAACACAUAAGCACAACUGAUUAAUUACCACACACAGAUUCUAAGCCAAUAAGCCAAUAACUUUUUGACGAUGACCUUGACAUUGCUUCAAGGAUUCUCAGUUAAACGGCGGGCGCCGGAACUUAUUGGCCCGGUGUUGGCGCUGAAAAGUCAUGAAGUGAAGCAACUUUCCGAUAUCGAUGACCAACAAGGUCUAUGGUUUCAAGUUCCAUUAAUAUUUUUCUACAAGAAUAAUCCUUCACCUUCGAUGAAAGGGAAAGAUCCAGUUAAGGUCAUCAAGGAAGCCCUGAGUAGGGCACUUGUGUAUUAUUAUCCUUUUGCUGGUAGGCUUAGAGAAGGGUCCGAUGGUAAGCUCAUGGUGGACUGCAAUGGUGAAGGAGUAUUGUUUACUGAGGCUGAUGCUGACUUCUCACUUGAUCAGCUUGGUGAUGAUGAAAUUAAGCCACCGUGUCCAUAUUUGGAUGAGCUACUUUAUGAUGUUCCAGGCUCCGAAGGCACUCUUGGCUGCCCAUUGUUGUUAAUUCAGGUGAGUGACAUUACUUCAAACCGAAUUUUAAUUAUGUAUUUAUAGAUUUUCUUUUUUCUUUUUCUUUUCUUUUUUUCUUCUUCUUCUUUUUUUUGUAGAAAUGUUUACUUUGAAAACAACGUUGAAAAUUAAAUUCUGAAGGGAAAUUUUCAAAACCCUCGGUUGUACUUUUAUUAUAUUAAUUAUUCUCCCAUCAUGUUUCAAAACUCUAUAGGAAAAUUUUAACUUUCAUAUCAUGUAUACUUAUCCUGAAGUAAAUGAUAUUACCUGUUGUUUGGUAUUUUGGAUCUCUCUCAUUUAGAUUUUAUUCGAUGAGAUUCUCCUCCUUCAGAAAUUGCACUUUUACUUUCUGAUGAUACCAAUGGUUUUCUCUGUUACCGCUUUCUGAAUAAGCAUAUAAUUAACCUAGCUUUUCGGAGUUCUUAUUUGUUUCUAAAUGAAGGUGACACGAUUGAUAUGUGGAGGAUUCGUACUUGCAUUUCGGGUGAACCACACAAUGUGCGAUGCAUUUGGUUUCGUGCAAUUCUUGAAAGCCAUGGAGGAAAUGGCUUGGGAUAAUGCAAAGGCACCAUCCUUACUUCCAAUUUGGCAACGAGAGCUCCUGAACGCAAGAAACCCACCUCAAAUUUCUUGUGUCCACCAUGAAUAUGACCAAAUAGACCCGAUCAAAGCUACCCUGAGAACCAAAAACCCAAAUGACCUAGACCACAAAUCACUCUUCUUUGGUCCGAAAGAAAUAUUGUCACUUCGAAAUCAGCUUCCCCCACAUCUUAAAAACUGUACGACAUUUGAGCUACUAACUGCUUGCAUAUGGAGAUGCCGUACAAUUGCACUUGGAUUGGACCCAAAUGAGAUCGUUCGAGUUUCAUUCACAUUUAAUAUUAGAGGCAAGCGUUUCAACAUGCAGAUACCUCAAGGGUAUUAUGGGAACGCAUUUGUGUUCCCAGCUGUGUGUUCAAAAGUUGAUGCAUUGUGUGGGAGUCCAUUGGGAUAUGCUGUGGAGUUGGUGAAGGAGGGAAAGGCCAAAGUGAGUGAAGAGUAUAUAAGAUCUGUGGCUGACCUUAUGGUGACCCGAGGUCGACCGGUGCCCACAACUAUGGGAGAUUUGUACUUCAUUGUUUCGGACACAACUCGAACUGGAUUUGAAGAGGUUGAUUUUGGGUGGGGAAAGCCUAUGUUUGCUGGAAUCGCUGGGUGUGCGCUAUUCAUUAGCUUUUAUGUGAAUUAUCAGAAAAAAAAUGAUGGCGAGUGUGGGAUUGUGGUGCCAAUACGCUUGCCAUUCUCAGCCAUGGAGAGGUUUCAAGAAGAAAUCAAGAAGAUGACUAUUUGACCUUUGAAUAGGAAGUCUUCCCUAGAGAAUUUGGAUCCAGUGUUAAUCAAAGCGAUGCUGAUCUAUAGAUGCAUUGUGUUAUAUGUACAAAUAUAAUAAUAUACGAAAAAAUAAUGUGAGACUUGAAAAAGUACCCACAUAGAUAUUAGAUUAGAUCGGCAUCGAAUUUAGAAUUGUUUGUGUUAGUACUAUAUAUGUAUGCUUUGAGUUUGGAAAAAAAUAAAAGCUUGUUUAAUUAAAGUAUUUUGAAAUAAAUCAGUGUAUUAAUCUAAUAAAUUAUUUAUAUGUAUCAAUUUGAGUUAUUGGUGCUAAAUUAUUUACUUGGACUUAUUUAUUUGUUUUUAUAGUUAUUAUUUACUUGUACUUAUUAGAGAAUUUUCAAAAGAUUUUUCAAAUAAAAUUUUAUUAUAUAUUUGAAGAGCUACAUCAGUAUUUAAAAUUCAAAAGCCACUGCAAUUAUGAUUCUUCAAAUAAGAAAUGAUUCUAUCUUUUUAAUUUUGUAGAGUUGUUUUUUCUAUCUUCAAUCUAUAUUUUAUUACUUUUUAUUGGAGAGAAAGAGAAGUGCUUUAAUUAUCAUUUAUUUUUUCUUUGAAAAAGUAUUUAUUUGAUUAAAAUAAUAUUAACUUAUUUCUAUUUGAAGAGUAUUUUGGAGAAUAACAUAUUUUUUUACUCUCCUUUUUACCACAUAGGUAAGUAAAUAGAUAUUUGAAGAGUAAAAUUAAUAGAAUUUUGUGGAGAUACUCUAAGGGGUGAUUCUAUAAAUCAAAAUGCAUUUUUCAAAAACUUUAAUUUGCAAGUGUAAAUUAUUGUUUAAGUACUUUUUUAUGGGAUACUAAAUCAAUUCCGAAAAUGAAAAAAGAUGUCAAAAAUAAUUUAACCUUAAUAAACUAUUUCAAAAUACAGGUAUGAUAGAAAGUGACGGAAAAAGCGCUAUUUGGUAAAUCCAUUUUUAAUUUUUGUUUUCAUAGAUUCCAAGGUACAGAAUAAUUGACACAUAUCAAAAUGUUAUUGGUGGGUGAUUUUCAUGUGACAUGAAAUCAUAGAGUGUACCAUAAACUUUCUCAAUCAGUUGACUUGACCCACCAAAAUAUGAAUGUACCAAAAGUUAGAAAAAAAUUUAUGGUUUUAAAGCAUGCCAUUUGUCUUGCAAGUAGCAUGGCUCCAACGUUAUCCAAUAAUUAACGUUUGUAAUUGGCACCAUCCUUCAUAUUUAUGUGGAUUUAAUUUUUUCUUUGAAGAGGUAGAAAUUUUGAUUCCAUAUUUUAAAAAUAUUUGAAAUUAUCAUGUGUAUAUAAAUUUUUAAAAUUUUUAAUUUUAUCCUUAUUUAAAAUUGAAAGCUCAAGCCCUCAUAUUUUGUUACAUCGCAAUUUUUUUUAGAAAAUUAUUAUUACAUCAUUUAUGUUGUCUUAUAUUCAUCCAAUCAGUACAAAAUUCUAAUAUAUUUUAUGCACCAUCUUUCUUUUUAAAUUUAUAUUAAUUAGCAACUUUUACACUAACACCGUUAAAUAAUUUAAAUUAAAUGAUAAUUUUACCCCUAAAUAAAUUAAAAGAUCAUUUUAUUUUAUAAAAAAAUUGAAAAAUAAAAAAUUAUAAUUAUAAAAAUACCCCUAAAUUUUAGAAAAAAAAUAAAUCCCAAAAAUAAUUUUUUUUAAUAAAAAAUAUAAUUAUAAAAAUAAUUGUAAUUUUUUUGGAUAUAAUAAAAAUCCUCUAAAUUAUUAAAAUUUUGGGAUUUAUUUUUUUAAUAAAUAAAUUCAGUUAUUUUUAUUAAAAUUUUGUAAAAUUAUAAUUUUUAAUAAAAAUUAAAAUUUUGCAAAAUUUAAAUUUAAUAAAAAUCACUUGAGCACCUUUAUUUGGGAUUUUUUUUUUAUUAAAAUUAUGAGUAAUUUUGUAAUUAUAAUUUUUUAUUUUUUAAAGCUUUUAUAAGAUAAAAUAUUUUUUUAAUUUAUUUAGGAGGUAAAAUUUUUAUUUAAUUUAAAUUAUUUAACGGUGUUAGUGCAAAAGUGACUUAUUGAUACAAAUUUAAAAAGAAAGAUAGUGCAUAAAACAUGUUAGAAUUUUGUAGUGAUUGGAUGAAUAUAAGACAAAACAUAGGUGGUGCAAUGAUAAUUUUCCUUUUUUUUUUUUUUCUAAAUUCUAACCAAUGAUCAUUAUUUUUUAUUUUCUCUCCCAUUUUCACCAUUGCUAAAUAGUCUAUUCAUCUAUUCAUCGUUUUGCUUUCAGAGUAGCAUUGCUAGAAUUCAUCCCAAAAAAGAAGAUAGCAUUGUUGAAAUGAGAUUGGCUGCAUGUAGAGCAAGACAAUUCACUAAAUGGUGUUGCUUUAUUUUUUCCGGUGGAUAUAAGUGAUCGAGUGCUGUAAAUUAUUGUGUUAUUUUCAUUUUAUUUCUUCCUGGCCCAUAUUUCUACAUCAACAAAUGUAAUACAACUAAUUAUUAUUUAUUUUCAAAAGAAAAACUAAUUAAGUUGAUAGUUAAGUGACGAUUGUGCAUGGAACACAUUUUGAUGGGUGAUUUGAAGAGGUCCAAAUAAAUAUGGCUAAUGGGUCGGGUGGCAUGCAGCACGACACGACACAGGCACGUUUUGGUUGGGCGCGCGACACGGCACAACACGCACGUGGGCUGGGCUGGAUCUCAAAUUCUAGGCACGCGAACCUUAAAAGCACCGUACGAUUAGAGAUGUACAUAAUAAACACGCUUUAUCGGUGGGCUAGCAUGCGGCCCGUGGGCCAUCAAUAACACGUGGACCAAAGUAUAUCAAAAUAACAUGUUUUUUAAUGAAAAGUAAAUAUAAAAUGUUAUGAUUUCUACAAAUAUCUUGAAAUUAAAUUUCUUAAUAUAUAUAUUUUUUAGCAUGGGCUUUUAAAAUUUAAUUUAAGUCUUAGUUUAAAUAAAUAUUAUAAUUAUUUAAUGAUUAUAAUUUAUUAAAUGAAUAAAUAAAUAACAUGAUUUUAUAAAAUGAUAAAUAAAAAAAUUUUAAGACAUUAAUAUUUCAUUUAUGAAAUCAUAACUUAGUUAAUGAAGAUAUACUUCAUUUGUGAAUGAAAUAUUUUUUAUAUUUAUACAAAAAAAAUUAUGAACGAAAUAUUUGUAAAGUGUGACCUGUGAUUUGUUAUAAUUGAUAUAUCGUAGUUGUGACUUCUUAUAAUCGUUAUUUUGGAAUUGUAAUUUUAAUUUUCAAUAAUCAUUACUAUGAUUUAUGAAAUUAAAUAUAUAUAUAUAUAUAUAUAUAUAUAUAUAUAUAUAUUGUUGUGUUAUGAUUGGUUAUUGUGAAAUUAAAUAUAUAGUUGUGAAAUUAUAAUAAAUUGAUAAUAAAAUGUUAAUUGCUCUCUUAAUAAAAAUUAUUAUUAUUGUUGCUAUUGUUGUAGUAGUUGUUGUUGAUAUUAUUAGGCUGAUGAACUUAAAAAAACACGCCAAACAUGUGGGUUUAAAUAAAAUACGUUAGGCACGUGAACUUUUUUAAGACAUUUGGCUUUGAGGGGUAAAAGAAAAAGUUGAUGGACCUUUUUUUGGGGACAAUCCAUUACACCACCCGAGUGGCUCGAUCCAUGAACCGUGCUGGGCCUUAAUAAAAAAUUUGGGUACGACGCAAUAUGGCCCAUCAGUUUAAUGGGCCGUGCCGUGCCGGCCGAUGGGCCCUAAUGGCCGUGGUUUGCCGUUGGACACCUUCAGGUCCAAAAUCCGAAUUGGCCGUAAUUGCAAAAUAUAUCCCAUAAAAUAGCUUGUUUUCUAAAAUACACCUCUAUAGAGUGCUAUUUUCACAAAUGCCCCUAAUUUAUAGGUCACUACUUCAAAUUUCAGUCAAGAGCCACCACCGGUCCACCGCUCUCUCUCUUUCUCUGUUCCUCUUCGUUAAGCCACUGAAACGGCGAAGCCUCUAUCAAAAAAAAAAAAAAAAAAACAAUGUAAGUUGUUCACUUCUUAACUCUCUUAAUUAACUAAUUUUUUUAACUUUCUUAUUUCCUUUAUUAAAAAAAAAGAAUUAAACUUGAAUUUGCUCGGACGAUUUUGAAUGUACAGGUCGAGAAUUUGCGUGAAGAAUUUACCAAAAUACGUGACGGAGGAUCGCCUGAGAGAUUUUUUUUCUCAGAAAGGAGAAAUAACUGACGCCAAGCUUAUGCGCACCAAGUAAUUUUUGAAUUUUUUUUCGUUUUUUAAUUUUGCUGGAAUUUUAUUGAUUGAUUUAUUUUUUAAUUUGGUUGUAUUGCUGUGUUUUGAUUUUUGUUUAGAGAUGGCAAGAGCAGGCAAUUUGCUUUUAUUGGUUUCCGUACCGAGCAAGAAGCUGAGGAAGCUAUAAAGUACUUUAACAAAUCUUAUCUUGACACUUGUAGAAUCUCUUGUGAGGUCGGUUUUUGUUAUUACUCUGUUUUAUUUUAUUGAUUUUUAAUUUUUAUUUUCAGAGUAGGUGAAUUUUGUUUUCUUAUUAUUUACAUGCUUUUAGCGGUAAUUGGGAGAUUAUUGAGUGAAAAUUAACUUAAGUGAUUUAGUUAUCAUUUAAUCUACUUCAUGAAUCUGAAAUGAAUUUGAUGUAUGCCUGUGGCUAAUAUACUCAUGGAAUGUAAAGGAUUAGUAAUUUUGGUUGGUCUGACUAAUGUAGAUUUGGUUGAUUAAUAUAUCUUUUGCUGAUUAUAUUUUGUCAAGUACCCAAGUGUACAUAAAAAAAAUUGAAGACUCCAUAGCUUGUUUCUAGAUUGCUCGUAAAGUUGGGGAUCCAAAUAUGCCUCGUCCAUGGAGUCGAUAUUCUUUGAAGAAAGAAAAAGAAGUGUCAGAAGAUGAGAAGAAUCCUGUUCUUGCUGCUAAAAGAGGAGAGAAAAAGACCAUUGAAAAGGUUACUGAGAAUGACGAUCCUCAGCUUCAAGAAUUUCUUCAGGUGAUGCAGCCGAGGGUCAAGUCAAAAAUGUGGGCAAAUGAUACCUUGAUUGGUCUCAUGGCUGACCAGAAGGCCAAAGUCUCUGAGAAUAUAUCACAAGCAAUCAAAGGAGGGGAGAAAUCAAUUACAUUGCAUGUUCAGUCAGAUAAAUCCAAUGUGAUAACAGAUAGCCAGGCAACUGAGAAAUCAAAAAAUGCUGCUGCUGAUGAAUUAAUGUCAGAUAUGGAUUAUUUUAAGAGUCGAGUGAAGAAAGAUUGGUCAGAUUCGGAAAGUGAAGAUGAUUCUGCUGGUGAUGAUGAUGAUGAUGAUGACGGGGAGGAGGAGGAGGAGGAAGAGAAUGACCACAAUGGUGAUUCUAAUGAAGAAUGUGAUAGUAUUAUAAAGGAUUCAAUUCAUUCUGGGGUUGGAGAAGAAGAUGCCAAUGGUGAAAUUGUUGACCCAGGGAAUCCAUCAUCAAGUUCGAAAGAUGUGCAACAAGAAGUUUUGGAAAGUGGUCGUCUUUUUGUCCGUAAUCUUCCAUAUACAGCAACGUAUGUACCUUACUGCCUCUUUUUCAUAGUGGUCAUAUGUAUGACUAUAAAUAUACUUACAUAAAUCUUUAUGUAACAGUGAAGAUGAGCUGAGGGAGCACUUCAGUAAAUUUGGCAAUGUCUCAGAGGUCCACAUUGUUGUUGAUAAGGAUACAAAACGGUCCAAAGGGAUAGCUUAUGUUCUUUAUGCAAUUCCAGAAUCUGCAUCAAGGUACUUGUGUUUGGGUGUUUUCUGUUACCUAAAACUUCUUGGUGUUGCUUUGAUACUUUUAAAUUCAUCAGUGGAUUAUUAGGAGGUCUCUGAAACUUAUCCUUAGUUGAGACCUCAUAAAUAUGCUCUCAUAUGUGACUUGGGAAUAAGAAAGAUAGUUGGAAUACACAUACGCGUAAUUUUCUUAUUAAAAAAUGGGAGAAAAAUGUUGGAGAUAUGGUAGUUCAUAGGAGAGAGCUAGGAGAUGUUGGAUUUUUUCCCAUUCUUGGGGCACUUAUCUGCGAGAGGCUUUUUUGUUUUUUUUGGGCUAAGACAGGUGCCAUUGUAUUGGUGUUUCUUUUGGCAUAACUAACCAUUUUAAGCUUUGAAUUUCUGUACAUGGUUUGCUGACAUGGUCAAAGUGCAGUGAUAACUAACACAUGUUAGCCUUUCAUCCUUUUCUUGUAUACUUAAUUUUUCUCAGAAUACUGUUAAUUGUUAUUCUUUCCUUUUCUCACUGCAUUAUUCAUAGUUAUUGGGGUCCAUGAACUUUUUCAGUUUGCAGAUUGUUUACUGUUGGAUCAUAUGGUAGAUUACAAUUUAUUGUACUAGCAAAUUCUUCUUGGCCACUGGUUUGAUACAUUGCAGGAUGGAUGUGCUGUUUGAGUCAGUUUUGGAUCUUAUCCUGCACUUGUUUAUUUAUCUUCCUUCCUGUUUUUGUUCAAGUCAUUGAUUACUUGGUUGUAUGUGCAGGGCCAUAGAAGUACUAGAUAAUUCAAUUUUCCAAGGUAGAUUGUUGCAUGUUAUGCCAGCGAGACACAAGAAAUCCUCAGACAAACAAGAGUGAGUUUGCUUUUGGAUUCCAGGCUUCAAGGUUUGUGGUUUUACUUAUGUAUGAUGGAACUUGACACUGUUUUCUUUCUAGGCUUCACAAUUCUACAAGCCAGGGUACAAAAACGUUGAAACAACAGAGGGAGGAAGAAAGGAAGGCAUCUGAAGCUAGUGGAAAUACAAAAGCAUGGAAUAGUUUGUUUAUGCGCCCUGAUACGGUAUGCUAACCUAAAAGAAAAAAAGGAGACACAAUUUUUUUCCCCCUUCCCCUGUCCUAAGAAAUUACUUUUUCGAUGUUGAUUUGUCUUUUAAAAAUUCAUGACCAUUUCACCAUGAAGUAAUUAUUCUAUCAUAAAUAAGGCUCUUUUGUUGUCCUAUUUUGGCCAGAUGUAUAAAGCAGUUGCAUUUCCAUGUCUGUGGUUAUGGUUGAUGUAAAUUUUUCUGUUUGAAUUCUGGCCUCAUUUUUGUGUUUCAUCUUGCCUGUUAAUAGGUUGUAGAAAACAUUGCUAGGAAACAUGGUGUUAGCAAGAGUGAUUUACUUGACCGAGAGGCCAAUGAUCUUGCUGUGCGUAUUGCUUUGGGCGAAACUCAAGUUAUUGCGGAGACCAAAAAAGCUCUUACGAAUGCUGGGGUAAAUGUUUCAUCUUUGGAGGAAUUUUCUGCUGGGAAAACUGAUGGUCUGAAAAGAAGCAACCAUGUAUUUUUAGUGAAGAACUUGCCUUAUGAUUCUUCUGAAGGUGAACUAGCUAAGAUGUUUGGUAAAUUUGGGAGUUUGGACAAAGUUAUUCUCCCUUCAACAAAAACAUUGGCCUUGGUAAGCAUCCUUUUCAGAUCUUAAUUAUUUUCCAUGUAUCCUGUUUUUUGAACAGCCACAGUUGGUGUUUUAAGACUGCUUGUAUGUAGAAUUGAUACCUCCCUAACCUGAUCCUUAUAGAAUGAAUAAAGAGGUCAGGAAAGAAUGCCGAAUGUCAUGAAUAAGUAGGUUGUCAGUGAUUUUCAUCAAUGUUGCAUGUAGCUGACUGAGGAUUUCAUUUUCUAGAGGAUACAGGAUGAAGAUGUAUAAAUCUGGGAAUAUACUGGGACGUUAAAUGUGGCUCUGUAUUAAACUGGGAUUAUGUUGUUUGGUGCAAUGAAGACUAUUCAAUUAAAGACGGCAAAAUGGGCAUGACUUGAGACUGUUACUUAACAGUGUAAUCUGCCAUUUGCAGGAUAUAAAUCUUGUGGUGACAUUUUUUGUUUUUGUUUAUAAGACUGAAGGCCAGGCUUCAUGUUCAAGUGACACUGGUGGCUUUUGAUUGAUGCUUUUCUUUGACACAAGUGGAAUUGGAUGCAACUCCAAUCAUUUAGAGGUGUAACUUACAAUUGAAUAUUGAAACAUAGAGUUUGAUUGCAUUUGUCCUUUUUUUCUCUUAGGAAGCAAUCUGAUUGAGUUGUUGGUGUGCCUCCUGAGACUAAUUUAGACAUUGGUUUACAUAGUUAGACUCGUAAAAAAACUUUUCUUUUUUUUUUUCCCCAUUUUUUACCCCUUGGUCAGUGGCUUUGAAAGUUUAACGAGUGGAUAGAAAAGUAGUUGUUUAGCUUCCAUUCAUUACACUUCUAUUUGGAGUAUUACCUGUAUUAUUCAGGAACAAUUUUUAGAUGUAUUUAAUAAUGAUUGUAUCAAUCUUGCUUCUAGAAAUGCCAAUCUUUGAGGGUUAAGUACUUCAGACUUGACUGAUUUUUAAUUUACUUAACCAUAUAUGGAGAAGAUGCUGCUCUAAAGAACCACAAUUGCUAUAUGCCUGAAUUAAUGCUGUUGUGUAGCCUAAUAGAAUUAGUAUUACAUUUCAGGUUGUUCUCCUCUUUCUUCCCCUCUUAAAUAUCUCCGUGCAUUGUUUUUCAGGUUGUUUUCCUCGAACCAGCUGAAGCAGCUGCUGCUUUCAAGGGUUUAGCAUACAAGCAUUACAAGUAUGUAUAUCUUUGUUUCUUUUAAGGCCAUUGGUUGAGCCCCUUGCAAAAGACAUGGAUAAUCAAUUUUUUAUGUGAAGUCUGACCAAAAGACUUCAGCUUCUAGAUUGGAACAUGGACUUGACCUGCUAACUCUAUAUUAAAUAUUCAAGAAAAGAUUUCUUAGCUAAAACUUUAGAACAUUGAUUUGACUUCACACAGCCAGACAAACACAUUCUCCUAUAUAUGCGUGGUCAGCACACCCGCAAACAGUAGAUAUGUUUGCUUGUUAGAUGCAAUUUUAUUUAUUUAUGUUUUUUUCCCCCCACACAGCAAUACAUCAGUUGUUUAUGAUAAGAAAAUGUAGUAUCGCUUUUGAUAUGAACUACCAUUUACGAUAGCAGAUUAGAUAAGUUUGAGUUGGUUAUUAAAGAAAAAUAACCUUCUGCUGACAACUUUUUCCAUACCUUUUCUUUUUAAAGUUUUCGUGUUUAUAGGUAGUUAAGGAAUAAAUAAAACAUAUCUGUAGAAAACUGUAAGAGUUCUUUCCUUACUAGACAUUAUAGUAGAGAUGAACGAAAUUGCAACACCCUUUAUGCAUAUCAAGUAGAAUAAUGCUAAGAAUACAAACUCUCAAAAACUAUUUUCUACUAAUUGGCAUGGCACUAUUGUAUGAUUCCCGUGUGGAUUAUAUUAUUUGCUCUUAUUAAAUGGAUUGACUUUUGUGUUUCUGUCCAGCCAAUACUUUAAUGUGAAAUCAGUUUGUAUGUAAUAUUUUGUUCCAAGAGUUUGUGUCUGUAGCAUCUAUCUAUUGAAUAAGAGGCAUACAAUAGCUACUUAAACAGUAUUUUUUUCUUGUAUUGAUAAUGAAGGGGUGUUCCAUUGUAUUUGGAGUGGGCUCCUAGUGAUGUCCUCAGUCAAAGUUCUACUUCCAAGGGUAAUCAAAAGAAUGAUGCUGUGGUUGGUGAACAUGAUGCCAAGAGAGCUCUUCUAGAGCAACAACUGGAAGGAGUAACAGAUGCUGAUAUUGAUCCUGAUAGAGUUGAGGUGUGUCAUAUUAAUGAAUUCUUAUCUUGCUUCUUUUCCCUGUUCUGCUUCAUGCCGUAUAAUUUUUAUGCUAAUUGUUUUCGUGAUUAUGCCUUGUUUUAUCUUGUUCCUUUAUGGUCCUUAAACAUGUCAAAUGUAUUCUUUCAAGUUGCUGUUAGUUUAUUGGCCGUAAGGUGGCUGUAGAUGAUUACAAUUCCUCUAGUCAAUAUCUUUGGGUCAUUUUUCUUUGUUCAUCAUUUAUAUGUUGGCGCACAUCGCAAAAAGAUUUUUGUCCAUUUGUCCAUUGCUUGUUGAUUGGAGAUCAACAACAAUGUUGGUAUGAAUCAUGUUAAACCACUGCAUUUGUGAGGUCUUUUCUUUAGAUUUAUAGCCAUCUUUUACUAUUUUAUUUUUAUGUAGAUGUCAUGGAUUUCUGGCAAUCUUAGAUUUGUGUUAUUUGUCUCAUUAUUUUUAUUUUUUUCUAAGUUCAUUCUCCCACGGCCCAACCCAACACCACCACCCAAAACAACAAAUCCGUAUGUGCUCAUUCUGUUGCAGCAUCUUGUUUUUCUUAUGAAUUUAACUAUUCAUCAAAAACAGAGGAAAACAGUGAAUUCUUUCCAUAUGCUUGGAUUCAGCAAUUUCAGUUGCUCAGUACUAUUUGUUCUAUCUGUGAUUUGAAAAGGAGGUUGAUACAUAUUAUAUAGAUUGUGUUGCAUCGUUUUUCUCUUAACUUCACUUUUUACGACAUAUGGUUGCUUCUAGAAAAGUCACAUUAUCAUAUUUCUUGAAUCAUAAAGUGACAAGAGUAAAUCAUAUGCUUACAGUGCUUCGAUAGAAACUUUCUAUCUCUAUGGAUUUGCGGUGUCUUUGCUUUUUGUUUCUGUUUAUGGUUUUUUCAUUCAUUUCUCUUUUUGCCUAUCAUGUUUCAGUCAAGAUCUUUAUUUGUCAAGAACUUGAAUUUUAAGACUUCUGAUGAGAAUUUGAGAAAGCAUUUUUGGUGAACACAUCAAGGAGGGAAGAAUUCUGAGCGUCAAGGUAAUUAUCUGGACACUUCAAAGAUAAUACAUGAUUUUCUUGAUUCUUUAAUUCACUCAUUUUAUGGUUCUGUUCCACCCUGUUACAGGUAAAGAAGCACCUGAAAAAUGGAAAGAAUGUUUCUAUGGGGUUUGGUUUUAUAGAGUUUGAUUCUGUGGAGACAGCAACAAAUGUAUGCAGAGAUCUACAGGUGGCUAGCAGAUGCUAAGUUAGGUUAAUAUCAUUAGAAUAUAGUUCAAAAUUUUGGAAACUGAUGCAUCGUCGACAAUGUCUCGUCUCUUUUUUAGGGAACUAUUUUGGAUGGGCAUGCUCUCAUCUUACAACUAUGUCAUGCCAAGAAGGAUGAACAAGUGGUGAAAAAGGCUGAGAAGGAUAAGAGUUCAACAAAAUUACUUGUGAGAAAUGUUGCUUUUGAGGCAUCAGAGAAAGAUCUGAGACAGCUGUUUAGCCCAUUUGGCCAGGUGGUUAUUUUUCUUUUGAUGAGUAAUGAUGCAUUUCAUUAAAAAUGCCUAGCAAGUAAAAAGGAAGGAACAGGACCAUGGAAUCUAAGACAAGUUGGAAAGAGUUAUUGCUAUAUUACAGCAAUAUUAAACUAUUGUUUGAUUAACCAGAUAACGAGACAAAAGUAAAGGUUAUAUGUAGGAUAAUAGAAGUUUUCAAUUAAAUAUCUAAAUUUGUUGCAAGAUGUGCACAGGUAUAAUCCCUUCUCAAGUAUUACCUGCAUUUAAAUUCAUUUCAGCGAUGCCGAAAGACUUAUAUCUGAACUUGCUGGACAUGCUUUUUCUCUUGUUGAUUUCUAUGUUUUUAUAUUUUUUUUGUAGAUAAAGAGCUUAAGGCUGCCAAUGAAGUUUGGAAAUCAUAGGGGCUUUGCAUUCGUUGAGUAUGUAACAAAGCAAGAGGCGCAAAAUGCACUUGAAGCACUUUCAAACACCCAUCUCUACGGUCGGCAUCUGGUAAGCUGUCUGCCAGUUCUUAUAGAUAUUCUCUGUUGCACAUGAUCAGAUAAUAUCUAUAAUUGCCCCACAUUUCAGGUGAUGGAGAGAGCAAAGGAGGGGAGAGUCUGGAAGAAUUGCGGGCUCGAACUGCUGCUCAGUUUACCGAUGAGGUAAAUGGGUUUCAAAUUCAACUAAGUUGUCUAAGAAGAGGAAGCACAUGACAAUCUUGGACGAAGGUACAAUGAAGUUUGAAAGAAUUGCUGAGUAGAGUGCUUUAUAUGAAUUUUUCUCGUGUGUUGAGAGAAAUGAGGUUUGUCAUGUAGUUACUUUUUAAGGUUUAUUAAUUAUAUUAUAAGUUAUGUUGGCUCCAUUUUUGUCUGUUGGAGUCAAUAUCUGUUUGUAAUUGUUUCUUGUAGGUGAGGGAACAAAGCAUAUUUUGUAGAAUUUCUUGAUGUAAAUCAUCUAGAUAUGUCAUAGAAGAGUUAAAAUUUUCAGAAAUUUCUUAUUGUUUUACUCCACUGUUUUCUAUUGUUUAAUGCAAAAGUUUGAUUGCCUCUUCUAAUUCACUUGGGAUUUAGUUCCCUCCUAAACAAAAUUUUAGUUGGAUGCAAAUGGGUUAUAUGAAUAAAUAAAAAUAUAUAUAUAUAUAUAUUCAGAUGUUAGCCGUCAUUGCUAGAAACCAAGAUAAGCAUCCGUUUCAUUGAUGUUGGUUUGUCAUCACCGAUACUUCCAGUCCUUGGUUAAACUAACUACAAUUCAAGAGGGUGUCGUUUAUGCUAACUUCUUCUCACGUUUGUAGAUUACGAAACUUCUUCUCAUGUCAAAUAAGUUUUCUGUUGAUCCUUGAAGGAAUCAUUCUCUUUAGCUCUUCUUCAAAUCUCUUCAUACUCGGCCUCGGCGAACGUAUAGGAAUGGGAGUCCCAGUCUCCCCAUCUUCUUUUUGGUACCUGUUUAAGUAACUAAAAAUAGACUUAGCACCAGCAAUCCCAGCAAAAACUGGUUUUCCUCCACCCCAAAUCAAUUCUAUCAAAUCCGACCUGCUUAAAUCGGACACAUUGUAGUUCCCCUUAAUCGGGUACCUCGGCCCGUCGCCCUUUGACCUCCAUAAGAUACGCCGCAGAUCUUAUAUGCUCUUUACUCAUUUCAGCCUUUGCUUUUUUCACCAGUGCAACAGCAUACCCUAAUGGAUUGUUGCAUAAAGCACCGCCCUUCAAACGCACAGCUGGGAAUGCCACUGCGUUACCAUAAUACCCAGAGCGUCAACUAGACAUGAAAAUUGAACAGUGUAUUUAGGGUCUAGUUGAAGUGCAAUUGUUCUACAUCUCCACAUACAAGCAGCCAACAACUCAAAUGUUGAACACACUUGCCUUUGGCCAAGUGUUAAGAGCUACUCCCUCAUAAGUGUGAGGGUAGCAGUUCGAACCUCAACAAAAACAGUUUUCUCCCCACAAAAGCAUUUGUGGGGGUUUAAUUUGAGUGAAGGCAGUCAGACAGUCUUCUCCCUGUCCCUCAAAUAUCAGCGAGAGAUUUCUAAGGUGUAAUGGAAGUUGAUUUUUGGAUUGGUACCUAUGAACGUAUCACACUUGUGGUUGAUUUCUAGUGCAUAAGCGUUCCCGUUUGCCCAACAGGGAAUAGGAAGGUGUGUUUGAACCUCUUGCCAUCUCCUGUAUGGUUUUCACAAAUUGCACCAGACCAAGUUCAUCACACAUAUUGUGGUUGAAAUGUAUCGCAAGAGUGAAUCCUCCACACAUCAAACGAGUCACCUACACAUAUGAACAAAGAAAAACCAUGAAAUUUAAUGAUUAAAUACUUAAAAAGUACAGAAUUAUGUAAUAUAUAGAAGUAAGAAUGACCUUUUGGUCCCUAAUAUUUUACAUUUUUACCACUAAAUUAGGACCAUUUUCAUUUACUCACUAUAUUUGGACAAUGUAAUUUUAAAGAAAAUUAUCGAUGGUCCACUGAAUUUUUAUAGAAAGUUCCAAAUACUCAAAUUCUUUAAAAAUAUUUCUUUUUUUGAGGAGUUUAAAAAAUAUUCUUUAAAAAAUAUUUCUUAUCUACUUAAGUUUUCGAAUUGUAUUAAGAAGCACUUUUCUGUGAACUCAAUGAGAUAAUUUAGUGCAUCUUUGUAAAAAGACUAAUAAAAAUAAUGUUCAAUGAGUACACUUGACUUAAAGAACCCAAAACAAUGUGUUUUCUUUGUUAUAAUGUUAUAAUGUAAUAGGUAAUUGAAAAAUAUAUAUGAAUGAGAAAAAAUAGUGAGAAUAUAUUUUUCUUAUUCAUACAAGUUUGCAAUCUUUACAUUAUAUACUUGUUUGACUAGGCCUAUAUAAGGAAGCUAUAGGAAACUAGGAAAAAUAAAUAUAUGCUAUACAAGGAAAAAAUAAAUACAUGUACACAAAAUAUAGGAUAUAAUCUUUGACUUUCAACACUCCCCCUCAAGCUGGCUCGAAGAUAUCUAUCAUUCCCAGCUUGGAAUUCAGUGAUUGAAAAACUUGUUUUGAUAAUCCCUUGGUGAGAAUAUCAGCUACUUACUUUUGAGUAGUAAUAUAAUAGAAUGCAUAUUAGGCCUUUCUCCAGCUUCUAUUUUUAUAAAGUGUCUAUCAAUCUCGAUAUGUUUUGUCCUAUCAAUGUUGGACUGGAUUAUGAGCAAUGCUAAUGGCAACUUUAUUAUCACAAUACAAUCUCAUUGAUUCAGUUUUCCACACCUUCAACUCUAUUAGAAACAUUCUCAGCUACAUAAGCUCGCAAAUUCCCAAUGCCAUUGCUCUAAAACUCAGCUUCAGCACUUGAUCUUGCAACCACUGGUUGUUUUUUGCUUCUCCAAGUAACUAGAUUUCUCCCAACAAAUGUACAAUAACAUGAUGUUGACUUUUUUAUCAACAAAUGAUCCAGCCCAAUCUGCAUCUGUAUAUGCCUCAACCCUUAGGUGAUUAUUCUUAGAUAAUAAAAUGCCUUUUUCCUGGAGAUGUCUUUAAAUAUUCCAGUAUCCUAAACACAACUUCCAUGUGCUCUACAUUAGGAGAAUGCAUAAAUUGACUCACAACGCCUACUGCAAAUGUAAUGUCUGGACGAGUAUGACAUAAUAGAUUAGCUUUCCAACUAAUCUUUGGUACUGUUCCUUAUUAACCAACCUGCUUUUAGUAGUUGCCCCAAGUCUAUGGUUGGAUUCUAUAGGAACAUCGCUAGGUUUGCAUCCUAACAUCCCAGUUUCUUCCAAGAGAUCCAGAAUGUAUUUCCUUUGUGACAAAAAUACCCUUUCUGAGACCUAGCCACUUCAAUUCCGAGGAAGUAUUUCAGAGAACCUAGGUCUUUAGUUUCAAACUCUUUGGUUAACAACAUCUUGAGUCUUUCAAUUUCAUCUCUGUCAUUUCCAGUCAAGAUGAUAUCAUCCACAUAUAUAAUAAGGACAAUGAGCUUAUCUUCUUUACCAUGCUUAAGAAACAUGGUAUGAUCAUUAUGGCUUUGUCGAUAUCCACAUUUGAGAAUAAAUCUUGUAAAUCUGUCAAACCAGGCUCUUGGUGAUUGCUUGAGCCCGUAUAAAGACUUUUCCAGCUUGCAAACUUUUCCUCUUUCAAACAUAUUCUCAAACCUUGGUGAUGGAUCCAUAUACACCUCCUCUUCUAAAUCUCCAUGGAGAAAUGCAUUCUUCACAUCUAGCUGUUGUAAUGGCCAUUCUAAAUUUGCAACAAGUGACAAUAGGACCCGAUUAGAGUUCAUUUUUGCAACGGGGGCAAAUGUCUCUUGGUAAUCAAUUCCAUAUGUUUGAGUAUAUCCCUUAGCCACCAGCCUAGCCUUGAAUCUCUCAAUUGAUCCAUCAGCCUUAUGCUUAACUGUAAAUACCCAUUUACAACCCACAAUUUUCUUUCCAGAAGGCAAGUCUGCAAGACCCAAGUUCUAUUUUUAUAUAAUGCUCUUAGUUCUUCAUGAAUCGCUUCUCUCCACUUUGGAUUUGCAAGAGCAUCAUGUACUGUUCUAGGAAUAGUUACAGAUGACAAAUUAGUAGCAAAAGCUUUAAAUGAUGGUGACAAUCUAUGAUAAGAGACAAACUUAGAAAUAAGAUGUUUAGUACAAGUUCUAACACCUUUUCUAUGAGCAAUAGGCAAAUCUAAAUCUAAAUCAAGUGAUCGAAUAGAGUUUAAAUGCAAUUUAGACUCAGAUUGAACAGUACCUGUGUCUUCCAAUACCUGUAUGUUCGGUUCAGAAUUUUGGCAGUCAGGAGAUGUACAAAUUAUUUUAUUUCGUCGAGAAUAUACCUUUAGCUUUUGAGUAUCCUCUUGAUUUUGUGCGGUGGAUGGUUGAAUUUGUGAAAACACUUGCUGGUCAUCACUUGGGUCAGGCUGUUUUUGUGGGGAAGAACAAUGUUGUUCUUUUUGCUAAUUGUUAUUAGAAGGUGGUAGAUUUUGUGGAGAGCAAACUAUCAAAGGUGGAGUUGAAUUUGUGAUAUCAUCUCUGAAAUAUAGCUCAUCUGAGUGUGUGGAUUUUGGAAAAAAUUUAAAAAACUAAUCUUUAAUAUUAUAUUCCUCCCCCUAAAGAGAGGUUUUGGAGAAAUAAUGGUUAAUUUAAAAAAAAGUCACAUCCAUGGUUACAAAAUAUUUCCUAGUUGGAGGAUGAAAACACUUGUACCCUUUUUGUGUAGGAGAAUAACCCACAAACACAUAUUUAAGAGACCUAGGAUCAAGCUUACUUUUGUUAUGAUUCUUGUCAUUAACAACAACAACACACCCAAAAACCUUAGGAGGAAGAGAACUAAAGGACCGAGACAUGGGAUAAAGUUGCUGAAGAAGUUCGAUUGGAGUUUUAAACUUCAAAGUACUAGUAGGCAAUCUAUUUAUGAGAUAACAGGCAGUUAAAACUGCUUCACCCCACAAAUAAUUUAGUACCCCCAUAGUAAACAUCAAAGAUCGAGCAAUUUCAAGUAAAUGUCUGUUUUUUCUUUCUGCAACUCCAUUUUGUUGAGGAGUAUCAACACAAGAGGAUUGAUGAAUAAUUUCAUUCUCAGUCAAAUAAUUUCCCAACAUAGAAGAAAAAAAUUCUUUGCCAUUGUCAGUUCGAAACACUUGAAUUUUUGNNNNNNNNNNNNNNNNNNNNNNNNNNNNNNNNNNNNNNNNNNNNNNNNNNNNNNNNNNNNNNNNNNNNNNNNNNNNNNNNNNNNNNNNNNNNNNNNNNNNNNNNNNNNNNNNNNNNNNNNNNNNNNNNNNNNNNNNNNNNNNNNNNNNNNNNNNNNNNNNNNNNNNNNNNNNNNNNNNNNNNNNNNNNNNNNNNNNNNNNNNNNNNNNNNNNNNNNNNNNNNNNNNNNNNNNNNNNNNNNNNNNNNNNNNNNNNNNNNNNNNNNNNNNNNNNNNNNNNNNNNNNNNNNNNNNNNNNNNNNNNNNNNNNNNNNNNNNNNNNNNNNNNNNNNNNNNNNNNNNNNNNNNNNNNNNNNNNNNNNNNNNNNNNNNNNNNNNNNNNNNNNNNNNNNNNNNNNNNNNNNNNNNNNNNNNNNNNNNNNNNNNNNNNNNNNNNNNNNNNNNNNNNNNNNNNNNNNNNNNNNNNNNNNNNNNNNNNNNNNNNNNNNNNNNNNNNNNNNNNNNNNNNNNNNNNNNNNNNNNNNNNNNNNNNNNNNNNNNNNNNNNNNNNNNNNNNNNNNNNNNNNNNNNNNNNNNNNNNNNNNNNNNNNNNNNNNNNNNNNNNNNNNNNNNNNNNNNNNNNNNNNNNNNNNNNNNNNNNNNNNNNNNNNNNNNNNNNNNNNNNNNNNNNNNNNNNNNNNNNNNNNNNNNNNNNNNNNNNNNNNNNNNNNNNNNNNNNNNNNNNNNNNNNNNNNNNNNNNNNNNNNNNNNNNNNNNNNNNNNNNNNNNNNNNNNNNNNNNNNNNNNNNNNNNNNNNNNNNNNNNNNNNNNNNNNNNNNNNNNNNNNNNNNNNNNNNNNNNNNNNNNNNNNNNNNNNNNNNNNNNNNNNNNNNNNNNNNNNNNNNNNNNNNNNNNNNNNNNNNNNNNNNNNNNNNNNNNNNNNNNNNNNNNNNNNNNNNNNNNNNNNNNNNNNNNNNNNNNNNNNNNNNNNNNNNNNNNNNNNNNNNNNNNNNNNNNNNNNNNNNNNNNNNNNNNNNNNNNNNNNNNNNNNNNNNNNNNNNNNNNNNNNNNNNNNNNNNNNNNNNNNNNNNNNNNNNNNNNNNNNNNNNNNNNNNNNNNNNNNNNNNNNNNNNNNNNNNNNNNNNNNNNNNNNNNNNNNNNNNNNNNNNNNNNNNNNNNNNNNNNNNNNNNNNNNNNNNNNNNNNNNNNNNNNNNNNNNNNNNNNNNNNNNNNNNNNNNNNNNNNNNNNNNNNNNNNNNNNNNNNNNNNNNNNNNNNNNNNNNNNNNNNNNNNNNNNNNNNNNNNNNNNNNNNNNNNNNNNNNNNNNNNNNNNNNNNNNNNNNNNNNNNNNNNNNNNNNNNNNNNNNNNNNNNNNNNNNNNNNNNNNNNNNNNNNNNNNNNNNNNNNNNNNNNNNNNNNNNNNNNNNNNNNNNNNNNNNNNNNNNNNNNNNNNNNNNNNNNNNNNNNNNNNNNNNNNNNNNNNNNNNNNNNNNNNNNNNNNNNAUAUAUAUAUAUAUUCAGAUGUUAGCCGUCAUUGCUAGAAACCAAGAUAAGCAUCCGUUUCAUUGAUGUUGGUUUGUCAUCACCGAUACUUCCAGUCCUUGGUUAAACUAACUACAAUUCAAGAGGGUGUCGUUUAUGCUAACUUCUUCUCACGUUUGUAGAUUACGAAACUUCUUCUCAUGUCAAAUAAGUUUUCUGUUGAUCCUUGAAGGAAUCAUUCUCUUUAGCUCUUCUUCAAAUCUCUUCAUACUCGGCCUCGGCGAACGUAUAGGAAUGGGAGUCCCAGUCUCCCCAUCUUCUUUUUGGUACCUGUUUAAGUAACUAAAAAUAGACUUAGCACCAGCAAUCCCAGCAAAAACUGGUUUCCUCCACCCCAAAUCAAUUCUAUCAAAUCCGACCUGCUUAAAUCGGACACAUUGUAGUUCCCCUUAAUCGGGUACCUCGGCCGUCGCCCUUUGACCUCCAUAAGAUACGCCGCAGAUCUUAUAUGCUCUUUACUCAUUUCAGCCUUUGCUUUUUUCACCAGUGCAACAGCAUACCCUAAUGGAUUGUUGCAUAAAGCACCGCCCUUCAAACGCACAGCUGGGAAUGCCACUGCGUUACCAUAAUACCCAGAGCGUCAACUAGACAUGAAAAUUGAACAGUGUAUUUAGGGUCUAGUUGAAGUGCAAUUGUUCUACAUCUCCACAUACAAGCAGCCAACAACUCAAAUGUUGAACACACUUGGCCUUUGGCCAAGUGUUAAGAGCUACUCCCUCAUAAGUGUGAGGGUAGCAGUUCGAACCUCAACAAAAACAGUUUUCUCCCCACAAAAGCAUUUGUGGGGGUUUAAUUUGAGUGAAGGCAGUCAGACAGUCUUCUCCCUGUCCCUCAAAUAUCAGCGAGAGAUUUCUAAGGUGUAAUGGAAGUUGAUUUUUGGAUUGGUACCUAUGAACGUAUCACACUUGUGGUUGAUUUCUAGUGCAUAAGCGUUCCCGUUGCCCAACAGGGAAUAGGGAAGGUGUGUUUGAACCUCUUGCCAUCUCCUGUAUGGUUUUCACAAAUUGCACCAGACCAAGUUCAUCACACAUAUUGUGGUUGAAAUGUAUCGCAAGAGUGAAUCCUCCACACAUCAAACGAGUCACCUACACAUAUGAAACAAAGAAAACCAUGAAAUUUAAUGAUUAAAUACUUAAAAAGUACAGAAUUAUGUAAUAUAUAGAAGUAAGAAUGACCUUUUGGUCCCUAAUAUUUUACAUUUUUACCACUAAAUUAGGACCAUUUUUCAUUUACUCACUAUAUUGGACAAUGUAAUUUUAAAGAAAAUUAUCGAUGGUCCACUGAAUUUUUAUAGAAAGUUCCAAAUACUCAAAUUCUUUAAAAAAUAUUUCUUUUUUUGAGGAGUUUAAAAAAUAUUCUUUAAAAAAUAUUUCUUAUCUACUUAAGUUUUCGAAUUGUAUUAAGAAGCACUUUUCUGUGAACUCAAUGAGAUAAUUUAGUGCAUCUUUGUAAAAAGACUAAUAAAAAUAAUGUUCAAUGAGUACACUUGACUUAAAGAACCCAAAACAAUGUGUUUUCUUUGUUAUAAUGUUAUAAUGUAAUAGGUAAUUGAAAAAUAUAUAUGAAUGAGAAAAAAUAGUGAGAAUAUAUUUUUCUUAUUCAUACAAGUUGCAAUCUUUACAUUAUAUACUUGUUUGACUAGGCUAUAUAAGGAAGCUAUAGGAAACUAGGAAAAAUAAAUAUAUGCUAUACAAGGAAAAAAUAAAUACAUGUACACAAAAUUAGGAUAUAAUCUUUGACUUUCAACACUCCCCCUCAAGCUGGCUCGAAGAUAUCUAUCAUUCCCAGCUUGGAAUUCAGUGAUUGAAAAACUUGUUUUGAUAAUCCCUUGGUGAGAAUAUCAGCUACUUACUUUUGAGUAGUAAUAUAUAGAAUGCAUAUUAGGCCUUUCUCCAGCUUCUAUUUUAUAAGUGUCUAUCAAUCUCGAUAUGUUUUGUCCUAUCAUGUUGGACUGGAUUAUGAGCAAUGCUAAUGGCAACUUUAUUAUCACAAUAACAAUCUCAUUGAUUCAGUUUUCCACACCUUCAACUCUAUUAGAAACAUUCUCAGCUACAUAAGCUCGCAAAUUCCAAUGCCAUUGCUCUAAACUCAGCUUCAGCACUUGAUCUUGCAAACCACUGGUUGUUUUUUUGCUUCUCCAAGUAACUAGAUUUCUCCCAACAAAUGUACAAUAACAUGAUGUUGACUUUUUAUCAACAAAAUGAUCCAGCCCAAUCUGCAUCUGUAUAUGCCUCAACCCUUAGGUGAUUAUUCUUAGAUAAUAAAAUGCCUUUUCCUGGAGAUGUCUUUAAAUAUUCCAGUAUCCUAAACUUCCAUGUGCUCUACAUUAGGAGAAUGCAUAAAUUGACUCACAACGCCUACUGCAAAUGUAAUGUCUGGACGAGUAUGACACAAUAGAUUAGCUUUCCAACUAAUCUUUGGUACUGUUCCUUAUUAACCAACCUGCUUUUAGUAGUUGCCCCAAGUCUAUGGUUGGAUUCUAUAGGAACAUCGCUAGGUUUGCAUCCUAACAUCCCAGUUUCUUCCAAGAGAUCCAGAAUGUAUUUCCUUUGUGACAAAAAUAUACCUUUCUGAGACCUAGCCACUUCAAUUCCGAGGAAGUAUUUCAGAGAACCUAGGUCUUUAGUUUCAAACUCUUUGGUUAACAACAUCUUGAGUCAAUUUCAUCUCUGUCAUUUCCAGUCAAGAUGAUAUCAUCCACAUAUAUAAUAAGGACAACGAGCUUAUCUUCUUUACCAUGCUUAAGAAACAUGGUAUGAUCAUUAUGGCUUUGUCGAUAUCCACAUUUGAGAAUAAAUCUUGUAAAUCUGUCAAACCAGGCUCUUGGUGAUUGCUUGAGCCCGUAUAAAAGACUUUUCCAGCUUGCAAACUUUUCCUCUUUCAAACAUAUUCUCAAACCUUGGUGAUGGAUCCAUAUACACCUCCUCUUCUAAAUCUCCAUGGAGAAAUGCAUUCUUCACAUCUAGCUGUUGUAAUGGCCAUUCUAAAUUUGCAACAAGUGACAAUAGGACCCGAUUAGAGUUCAUUUUUGCAACGGGGGCAAAUGUCUCUUGGUAAUUUCCAUAUGAGUAUAUCCCUUAGCCACCAGCCUAGCCUUGAAUCUCUCAAUUGAUCCAUCAGCCUUAUGCUUAACUGUAAAUACCCAUUUACAACCCACAAUUUUCUUUCUAGAAGGCAAGUCUGCAAGACCCCAAGUUCUAUUUUAUAUAAUGCUCUUAGUUCUUCAUGAAUCGCUUCUCUCCACUUUGGAUUUGCAAGAGCAUCAUGUACUGUUCUAGGAAUAGUUACAGAUGACAAAUUAGUAGCAAAAGCUUUAAAUGAUGGUGACAAUCUAUGAUAAGAGACAAACUUAGAAAUAAGAUGUUUAGUACAAGUUCUAAACACCUUUUCUAUGAGCAAUAGGCAAAUCUAAAUCUAAAUCAAGUGAUCGAAUAGAGUUUAAAUGCAAUUUAGACUCAGAUUGAACAGUACCUGUGUCUUCCAAUACCUGUAUGUUCGGUUCAGAAUUUUGGCAGUCAGGAGAUGUACAAAUUAUUUUAUUUCGUCGAGAAUAUACCUUUAGCUUUUGAGUAUCCUCUUGAUUUUGUGCGGUGGAUGGUUGAAUUUGUGAAAACACUUGCUGGUCAUCACUUGGGUCAGGCUGUUUUUGUGGGGAAGAACAAUGUUGUUCUUUUUGCUAAUUGUUAUUAGAAGGUGGUAGAUUUGUGGAGAGCAAACUAUCAAAGGUGGAGUUGAAUUUGUGAUAUCAUCUCUGAAAUAUAGCUCAUCUGAGUGUGUGGAUUUUGGAAAAAAUUUAAAAAACUAAUCUUUAAUAUUAUAUUCCUCCCCCUAAAGAGAGGUUUUGGAGAAAUAAUGGUUAAUUUCAAAAAAAAGUCACAUCCAUGGUUACAAAAUAUUUCCUAGUUGGAGGAUGAAAACACUUGUACCCUUUUUGUGUAGGAGAAUAACCCACAAACACAUAUUUAAGAGGCCUAGGAUCAAGCUUACUUUUGUUAUGAUUCUUGUCAUUAACAACAACAACACACCCAAAAACCUUAGGAGGAAGAGAACUAAAGGACCGAGACAUGGGAUAAAGUUGCUGAAGAAGUUCGAUUGGAGUUUUAAACUUCAAAGUACUAGUAGGCAAUCUAUUUAUGAGAUAACAGCAGUUAAAACUGCUUCACCCCACAAAUAAUUUAGUACCCCCAUAGUAAACAUCAAAGAUCGAGCAAUUUCAAGUAAAUGUCUGUUUUUUCUUUCUGCAACUCCAUUUUGUUGAGGAGUAUCAACACAAGAGGAUUGAUGAAUAAUUUCAUUCUCAGUCAAAUAAUUUCCCAACAUAGAAGAAAAAAAUUCUUUGCCAUUGUCAGUUCGAAACACUUGAAUUUUUGUUUGAAAUUGGGUUUGAACCACUUUACGGAAGAUUUGAAAAGUUUUAGAAACUUCAGAUUUUUUCUUUAAUAAACACCCAACAAACUCGAGUGUGAUCAUCAAUAAAAGUGACAAACCACUUAGCUCCAAAAUUAUUGGGAAAACAUAGAGGACCCCAUACAUCACUAUGUAUAAGAGAGAAUGGUUGUGAAACUUUGUAAGUUUGGGCAGAAAAUGAGUACGAUGAUGCUUGGACAGUUCAGACACUUCACAUUUAAAAUUAAUGUCACUUUUAUUCUUAAACAAUGUCGGGAAUAACAACUUUAAAUAUGAAAAAUUUGGAUGUCCUAAUCUGAGAUGCAUCAAACUAAUUUCAUUCUCACUAGGCACUUGAGAAACAAUUUUGUCAACUAAAGAUAGAUUACUCAAAGCUUCAGGCUUCUCUUCGAAAUAAUAAAGUCCAUCCACCUCCUUAGCACUGCCAAUCUUCUUCCCUGUACACAGGUCCUGAAAUUCACAAUUGGAAGAAUAAAAUUUAGCCAUACAGUUAAGGUCUUUUGUAAGUUUACUGACAAACAAAAGAUUACAAGACAGAUUAGGGACGUGCAAUACUGAUUUUUAAGAUCAUUGUUUUAGAAACUGAAAUUGAACCUUUUCCUGCAACUGAAGAAAGAGACCCAUAAGCGAUUUUCACAUUUUGUUUACUAGAAAGUGGUUUGUAAGUAGGAAUAAGUUGGACAAACCAAGUCAUAUGAUCGGUUGCCCCUGAAUCAAUGAUCCAAGGGCAAGAAGUAUUUGAAGAGAUGCUGAAAGCAUUUAGAAAAUUACCUAUUUGGGCUAGAUGAGCAGAAGGUGUUUGACUCAUGAACCUGACAAGUUGCUCAAGUUGUUCUUUAGUGAACAGAUUUGAUCCCUGACCCCCUGAGUUUGCAUUGGCAUUAUCAAUUGCAUCUUGAAAGCCCUUUGAAUUUUGUCCAGAAGACUUGGUACCUUUCCCUGAGUUUGUAGCCUUUCAUGGAGCUUCCAACAAAACUCUUUGGUAUGUCUUGGUUAUGGCAAUGAUCACACCAAAGUUUAUCUAUGUCAUCUUUCUUCUUGCUCAUAUUCUUUUGUUCACUUACCAAUGCUGAAUCAGUAGCACAAGUAAUCAAGGCAGAAUUAUCAGUAUUAGAGCUAUUCGUCAUUAUCUUUUUUCUACUUUCUUCCCUUCUCACAUAUGCAUAGACUUCCCUAAUUGCGGGAAUAGGUUCUUUGCUUAGUACUCGUCCUCUAACUUCAUCCAAAUAUGGAUUCAAACAAGCCAAAAAAUUCAAACACCCUCUCCUUCUCCCGUAACUUCUUAAAUCUUUUACUGUCAUCUCUACACUUCCAUUCUCCAUCAUAAUACAAACCCAAUUCUUGCCAUAAGCUAUUCAUGAUAUUGUAAUAUGCAGUCACAAUGUCACUUCCUGUUUUGGUUUCAUGAAUACGAUACUUAAGUUCGUACAACUGUGCAGUAUUUCCAAGAUCAGAAUAUGUCUCUGUGACUGCAUCCCAUAAAUCUCAUGCUAAUGGUAAGAAAAGAAACGCAUGACUAAUGUGAGGAUCCAUUGAAUUAAUAAGCCAUGACAUUACCAUAGAGUUCUGUUCAUCCCAUAUUUUAUACGAAGGGUCAUCAGCCUCUGGUAUGUCUAUUGACCCAUCAAGAUAGCCCAUUUUACCUUUUCCCUUCACAUACAACUUCACAGACUGUGACCACUGCAGAAAAUUCUGGNNNNNUUAAUUAAUUAANNNNNUCUCAAAUUGUAAACAUAUCAAUAUAUUAAAAUAAUUAAUUAAAAAACUGACAAGCAUCCAACCGCACGUUUUUCAUUUGUUCAUUUGUGAACUAAAUUACAUUUAUAUUCUACUCCGAAUAUGACAUUUUUUUUCACGAUGAUGGUCUUCUUUUGUUUGCGCCAUAAAUGUUUACACGUGGGGCUGGUCACAAGCAUUAUUGUACUGGACAGAAUCCGGUGCUGAUAUGAGCAAGUCGUAAGCACCGGAUCAAUGACCCGUAAUUAUUUAGGACCCACAUAAAAUAAUUGUUGAUCAUUAAUCUAGUGCUCAGGAUUUACUCAUAUCAGCACCGAAUCCGUACCCUAUUGUACAUGUUUAAUUAGAGCCACCCAAAUUGCAAAACAAAUGGAAUGCAUCGCAAUCGUGUAUUUUUUUUAUGAAAGCCCACGUGUUUCUCAAAAUUGAUGAAGGACCACUUCUGUCUCGAUGUGGCUUAUCUACAGGUUAGAUGCUCGGGGAAACGUAUAAUAAUGGGUCCUCGGAAUGCAGUCCCAUCCACGUGAUACAUGCAUUCAAACUCUCUUAUAAUCUGAUUUUUUUCUGGGAUUUUUUUUUAGAGGUAAUUUAAGUAUACUUAAGAGCUAAAAUUUAAUUUACUUUUAAUUUUCCUUUUUAAAUGCCAAAACACAACAUUUAGUGGCCAAUUACAAUUCGAAAACUAACGGAGUUUUAAAGUGAGACUCAUUUGAGUUCUUUCUCUGCACAUUUUAUAACCGCUUUCUUCUUCCCCGGCUUCUUCAAAACCUUUAAAAGAUUAAUUAGUUAAUUUGGUAAUGAAGAAUUCACCAAAUUAAUUUUUUUAAAAAUAAGAGCUGGCUAUUUAACUUUUUUGAGCAAUAACAUGCAAACAAGACAUGUACAAACUACAACCCCAAUGGUCCAUCACUCAUUGUUGUGAGCAUCGGAUACUUUACAAAAGUGUGAGAUCGCGCACUCUAAGAUUGUUCGCACAUACAAAAUUAAAUACGAAAAUCAGUUUGAACUUUCAUAAGAUUCUUUUACCUUACCACAAAACAAGAAAUACGAUAGAUUUCUCCCAAAUCAUUGGUGGGAGCAGAAUUCUAAAUUAUAAUUAGACCUCUGAAUUAUAUAUUACAAAUUAUUUUCAAGAACUCAAAGUGUAAGAUAUCAAUAAUUUGUAAUAAUUCAAAAACAUCGACAAGCAUCCCAGCCGCACUUUUUUCAUUUGUUCAUUUGUGAAAAAAGUACAUUUAUUUGGACUCGACUAGCUUACAGAAUCUUAAGGUACAGACUGCAGCAUCAGCCGUUGGAUGUUUGGAUGUGGAGUGAGAAACUAAACCAUAGAAAAUCGAUGUGGGAUGACGGGAGAUGUUUGUUACAGAAUCUGUACCAUAGACAGGUUUUAUUACAUAGAUUUUUUUUUUAUGUCUUCUUUAUCGCCAUAAAUGAUGACAACAGCAAAGGUGGGGUUGGUUACAAGCACUAUUGUACUAUGUUUAAUUUGAACCGUCCAAAUUGCAAGGCAGAUGGAGAUUUUUUUGGUGAGUCAAUUUGUCAUAACUCGUUCUGCGGUUUGAAAGUAGGGACAAUGACAAAAGGAAAAAAAUGGCAGACAAAUUAUCCCACAUUUACCCUCGUGGUCUGCUGCAAUGCAUGAUUUUUAAUUAUAAUUAAAAUUGUUUUUAUUUUUAUUUAAAGUGAAAUAAGGUCUCUUUUCCAAUAAUAAAUAACAGUCUUUUAAGACCCCGAUCCAAAUUCGACGAUGCGUGAAUUAAAUUAAAAAAAAAAAGAGGGGUCAUCCAAGUAACUCAGUCCUAAAUGGCAUCCAAAAUUUCUCAAGUUCUAUCGGUUACCUGGAAGGCAGCGGGGCCUAAUUGCUCCGUGAGGCCAACACCAAGGGCAGUGAAGCAACCUUCAGAUAUUGAUGACUUAGAAAGGCGAAGGAUCAGAUACCAAUAAUAUUCUUUCACAAGAAUGACCCUUCACCUUCGAUGCAAGGAUCAGAUACCAAUAAUAUGGUAAAUAUACUCAUUCAAGUAGUCAAGCUUACAGUAAGAUAAAUAGAUAAAGAUUAAUGGCCGUAGUUUAAUUAUGUAAAUACAAUAUACAUAUGCCAUAAAUUAUUAUGAAAUGUGAUAAAAAUUUAAUUAUUUUAAAACGAGAUGAAUAUGUAUAAUUAAACUACAGCUGUUAAUUCGUUGUCUACUUAUUUUCGCGGUUAGUUUGGCUACCUUGAUUUUCUUAAAAAUAAUUAAAAAAAAAGUUAUUACUGGUUGAUUUAUUAUUAAGAAAAUGAUAUUCUCACUUUUUACAAAGUGAGAACAACACUGAGCACCAAAUACUGUGUUUUGUGCUCAAUAUAAAAACUCACUGUUCUCAAAAUACAACACUCUCAAUCUAUCUCUUGUCUCGCUCCCUCACUCUCUCUUUCUCGUGUUGCCCAAUUUUCUAAAUUUUCCGCAACUCUAGAUCUUCAACUAUAGUGGCUUUUUCCAUAUUCUUUAUUUCUACAAAAUAAAUAUAAUUCAUAUUAAUAAACUGAAAACAACUAAAGAUUGCUAAAGUGAGCCACAUACAAGUAUGCUAUAUAAUUUAAAAAAGAAAAAAUAUCAUUUAUUGCAAAUUCUUAUAUGGAUUUCGAAAAUGUCCGAUUGCUUGUUUCCUCUAUAAAUUUCUAAUCCGAAUUGAGAAUCAAUUCGGUUAAUCCUUUUCUGGUUUUAACUCGUAAAUUUCUUUGUAUUUUGUGAUUUUUAUUUUUAUAUAAACUAGUUUUUUUAUUUUAUUUUUUAAACUCAUUGCAAUAAACUUUCAAUUCGGUUUGAUUUUUUUUGGAGCAACGAUUUUUUAACCCACCCCCAUUUGUAAUCAAAAAGCAACUAGUUGAGUGAGGCAAGUUUUUGCUUCAGCCUUAAGAAUUAAUAUGGGAAAUAUACUCGUUCAAGUAGUCAAGCCUAUAAUAAGGAUAAAUAGAUAACGGAUCAACGGUUAUAAUUUAAUUAUACGAAUGUGGUGUGCAUAUCUAUCAUAAAUUAUCAUAAAAUAUGGUAAAUCUCAAUUCUCUUGAAACAUGAUAAAUAUGUGCAAUUAAAUUAUAGCUGUUAAUUCGUUGUUCAUUUUUUUUUAUUGUCAGCUUGCCUACCUUGAUUUUCCUAAAAAUUGGGAAAAAAAAACUUAUUGUUUGUGUCAAAGGAUUGCCUUAUUAUUAUUCUAUUUUUUUUGGCAAAACUACAAUUAUGCUAAAAUUGUACACAUCAUAAAUAAAUUUAUAAGUAGUUGAAAAAAAAUUUUAAAAAAAGGGAAGAUAGAGUAGCAUCUAUGAAAGUAGUUGAAUUCUUGCAAGGUGUGGAUGUAAGCAAGUAGUAAGUUUGAAUUUUCUGUCAUUGGUAAAUAUUGGUUUUGAUUUUGGGAAAUAUUUUUAAUUAUUGGGUUAGUUUUGAUGCAGAAGUAAAUUUGACGUUUGUGAAGUCAAUCGUGAUAUUAUUUUUGACUAAUAAUGGUAACGAAAAAUAGCAAAUUGUUAUCUUUUUAUAGUUAAUAUAAUAAAAUGUUAUAAUUUGAUAAUUCUUGUAGUAAGAUAGUAACCCAUUACAGAAAAUCAAGCUAAAGGUCUUGUUCAUAGUAAACAUUCCCAUAAGUUCUUUCGGUAGAAAUAAGAAUCUCUUUUAAUGAGAAUAUCUCUUUCGUUCAAUAAUUUAAACGAGAAUCUAAUUUCUUCUAUAUUUAUCAUAAUUUUUUUUUAACCAAUGAAAGAAAAGUCUUUUUCUUGCCAUGAAUUUCCUGUCAAAAAUAAUCCUUUAGUUUUAUGUUGUUAUGCAAUAGUAUGAGAAGAUUCUUUUUUAUUAAGUCGAUGCUUUAGGCCUUUAAUAAAUGCAUUAAAGAUGCUACUUAAAAACAAUUGGUUAUUGCUAGAGAUCUGAUCAGUGUGUGUGCGCGGGCGGUUGUGUAUAUACGCGCACGCGUGUGCGCGGGUGGGUGGGUGCGCGUAUGGGUGUGUGUGAGUGGUUUUUCAAUCCAGAAAGUAUCCAAAAUAAGAUGAUGUCCACCAAUUAGUAUGCAAUAACUUAAAAAAAAGGGGGGGGGGGGGGGGGGGGGGGGGGAGGGGGGAGGAAUUUUUAAAGAGUGGGACUAUUGGCACCCCUCUAAAUACCUCUUAAUACCCUUUUAAUUAUUUUAAAAUUUUAACCUUUAUUAAAUUACAUAAUAAGACAAUUUCGAAUUAAACCCCCACUCAAAAUCAAAUAAUUUUUUCCCCUUAAAAAUUCCUUAUUACUAUUAUUUGUUAAUAGAAUCAUUGAUAUUAUCAAUUUAUCAUUGACAUAAAAAUCAUUCAUUCCUCUUAGAUUUGUUCCAUUAUCAUGCUCUUCACAUAAAAUCAUUGCUAUUAUAUUUGUUAAUAGAAGUCAUUUCAUAGAGGCAUGUAAAACUUUGGAAAUUCAAAUUAUGCUACAAUAUCUUUAUUAUUGGACUAAUUUUUUCUAUGGCUUUUUUCUACAGGUGUUCAUGCUUCCAGCUUCACCUAUUCCUCCUAUUGCGAAUGGUUGGAUCAAGUAUCAUGAACCAUGUGCAGAGAAGGCUGGGCAACACCAUACGAAACUAAUAUAAGUGCUUUUAAGGAUUUGGUGUUUGAAGUUACCACACAAGAAAUAAUUGAUAUAGCUAGUCAAUGACAAUAUUAGACAAUUUGAUACUAAUAAAUUAAACAAGGGAUCAAAAAAUUAAGUUUUAUCCACAAUUAAGGGAUCAAAAAUUAAACAAUGGGGUUUAUACUAAUAAAUUUAAAUUAAGGGUAUUUUUGUCAUUAAAGGGGUGUUAAAAGAAUUUUAUAAUAUUUUUAAAUAUUUUAAUGGGGUUAAUAAAGAAAAGAGGUGUUGAGAGAUAUUUAAAGGGGUGCCAAUAGUCCUACUCAUUUUUAAAUACCUCAUUCGGGCUGUUAGAUUCCCAGGCCCCUUUAUUGACUGCAUAUGAUGGAGUCUACCAUACAUAGACAAAUGUUGGCCUUUAAAUUUUUUAAUCCAAAACUUUUAAUCCGAACUCUCGGAUUGAAAAAGCACCUAUAUAUAUAUAUACAGUAAUAAAAAUUAGGUCGAGCUAUUAGGGGCUUCUCUUCCUUACCAUAAAAUGUAGAAUAUGGUAAAUUUCUCUCUAUUUGUUAGUGGAGCAGAUUUUCAAAUUAUGUUGAAUAGAUGUAGAAUUACAUAUAUUACAUAUUAUUCUCAAUAGAUCUCAAUUAUAAUAUGUUAGCUAGCAUGUUGUAUUACUCCUAAAUAAAAAAAUAAAAAUUGAGAUGCAUCCCAACCUUACUUUUUCCAUUUGUUGAUUUGUUAUAUGUUGCUUAAUUUGUCACAAAAAGAAAAUGACAGAAAGAUUUAAUUUAUAACGGCACGUGCUUGAGGAACAAAGCAACCAUCAAUUGUCAUCCAUGAAAGAGUAUAUUUGUCGGCUAUUGCACUCUAAAGAUUUUGCAGCUACACCCAAAGCUUAAUUGUAAUCAUUAUUACAUUUAUAAUUCUACUCCACUGUUUUCUAUUGUUUAAUGCAAAAGUUUUGAUUGCCUCUUCUAAUUCACUUGGGAUUUUGUUCGCUCCUAAACAAAAUUUUAGUUGGAUGCAAAUGGGUUAAAUGAAUUUUUAAAAUUUUUCAGAUUUUCGCCUUCAUUGCUACAAACCAAGAUUAGCAUCCGUUUCAUCGAUGCUGGUAUUGUCAUCACAAAUACUUCCAGUCAUUUGGUUCAAUAGCGUUUCGUUUAUGCUAACUUUUCUCAUGCUUGUAGAUUGCAAAAAUCUAUUCAAGUUUGAAGAGCUACGUACAAUUAGGGAUGGCAAACAGCGGGCCUGGGCUGGACCCGAGCGGGCUUGGGCCGGUCCGGACUUUUUUACCACCCCUAGGCUUAAUCCAUUUGCCUUAUGGAAAGGACAAGUGCAAUAAUUGCCUUUGCAUCUAUGGGAUUCUACUCUCUCUGCGCUGCUUGUACAAAAAGUCCACUAUUCGCCCUGAUUGUGGGAACAUAUGUCAAUAAUGCUAUCUUAUUUGACUUGAAUUUUUAAUAAUGUGUACAUAUUAGUUAAUUUAUUAUUAGGCCACUGCUAAGUUACGUUUAAAGUAACUUAGCACACACACAACAAUAGUAGCAGGCUCUACUAAUGGUACUGUUGCUGUGUGUGGGUGUAUGUUACGUUAAUCGUAACAUAAGGAGAUCCUUAUUAUUAAUUAUUAACUUUUAUUUUUAUAAUCUAUAAAUUGUUAUAGAUAAAUGUUGUAUCAAUAAGUAUUUUAAUUAAAAAUUUAAAGUAAGUAUAGUGUUACUCAAACACAUAUAGAAAGAACUAAUAAUUUGACAUAUAUGCUCAAAUUAUGGGAUGGAUUCCGACUGAUCUUAAUACUUCAAACCCCAUAUUCAUUAUACUUUAAUAUUUUUAUUCAUUCAAUUUUUCACAAUAAAGCGGCAUAUAGUCUAUAAACUAAGAUCCGGUGUUUAGAUGAACUUGAGCUUGUUUUGUGCAUCAAAUCAACAAUCAUGAUUUGUUUAACAUGAGUUCUAUAUAAGUUUUUAAUUAACUUUUUGAUCCUUAAUUCAAUACUUAACACAAAUUCUACUACUUAUUGAAUCCUUAUCCUUACAUUGAUUAUUUUUCUCAAAAAUAAUCCUUAUACUUAAUAUCCUUAUCCCAAAAAUAAUCCUUAUCCUUAUGCUUAAUAUUAUUAACUCUUUUUUAUAGGAUGACAAUAAUCAUGAUUCCGGACGUGGAUCAUGAUCCCUGGCCCAUCCCCGAACCCACCUCAUAGAUGAAAUUGAUUAUUUUUGGGAUGGAUGGGAAUGUAGGAGAGAAUCCUCAAUGAGGCAAGGAGGCAAGGGAUAAAACGAGGGCCAAAUGCCCAGCCUAUCAAUAUGUAGAUUUUUCUCAGCAGAGAGCAUUGAUGUGUCUUUACAUUGAAAGAAAUUAUUUUUACGUACUUUACGGUUCAGUCGAUUUUCAACCAUUUUUUUUUUCGGUUGUCACUCGCGUCUACUUUAUUCAAAUCAACCCAAUAAUUCAAAUCCCGAAAGAAAUUAAUAAGAACUACAAAAUUAAUGGAAAAUUUACACAAAUAACCUAAAAAAAUUUGUUAUUUUCACAACUAACCCCUCAACUUUUUUCCUAUCAACAUUAGCCAAUAAUCAUCCCUAGUGCCAAAAAUGCCCCUCCCAUAACUCUACCUCUCCUUCCUCUCUCUCUCUCUCUCUCUCUCACCGUCGAAUUCACUGCAAGAUCUACUUGAUGCGUUAUCAAGAUUCAUCAUCUAUAUAUGCAUCAGACUCUAGCGUUGCACCAUCCUGAUCAUCGUCUUCAUAGGACUCAUCAUCAUCAGUAGCCUUUUCAGUUCCACUUCCACUUAGUUCUGAUUAUAAGUACAAUUCUUCAAGGGCUUGAGGAAAUAUGCAUCACCCAAGUUUUAACAGAAAAGAAAUCAUUACAGCUUACCCCAAAUAUCUUAUCAUAUUCCUCCAGCAAUGUUAUGACAAUGGCUUGAGCAUGAUUUACUGCAGCUGCUGCUUGCAGCAGUUGAGCAGAACCGUCACCACCCACAUUGAAAUCAAUUUCAAUCUCACAUUCACCAACUAGAAGGGGACGACGAAGUAGAGGUGCCAUGCAAGCCGCCACUGCUGAAGUGCUCAUUCGAUUUUGAUUUUUGGAAGAAGCAACAAUUUUCAUCAUCAUAAGUAGGUGCGACAGGCACCAAAUUCGUGCGACAGGUGCCUGUCGCACAACAUCUUAGUGCGACAGGCACAUGUCUGCACUUGCACAAAAUCUUAGUGCGACAAGCACAUGUCUGCACUCGCACUGAAUCAGUUUGCAAGUUGAGAAAAUAUCUCUUACUGCUCGCUGAUACGGAUUAGUGUUGGAUUCGGAUGGAUUACGCUGUAUUUGAUGGAGUUCACUUUUACCGUUCGCCGUUGCCGUUUGCCGUUGCUAUUUGUCGUCGCCGGUGAUAAUUCAAUAGUAUAAGACUGCGUUUCGUUUGAUCAAGGGGGAGAAGAAAAGUUGUUUUUGGUUUGUAAACAAGGGUAAUUUGGGGAGAAAAUCUUGUGUUUGGCUAAUGUUGAUUGAAAAAAGUUUGAAGGCUAAUUGUGAAAAUUACAAAAAUUUUUAGGUUAUUUUUGUAAAUUUCCCAAUAUAAAUCGUAUCGAAUAUGCUUUACUUAUAGAUCCAGCUAAUGGUAGCAAAGCCGGCAAACAAUGGUGUUUAUCUAAGCCGGCAAACAAUGCUCCCCUAAAUCGAAUCGAAAGAUAGACAUUUAAUGGCCAACUGUCAAGGAUGGUGGCAAAGCAUUGAAGGCCAUAAUCCCCCCCCCCCCCCCCCCCCCCCCCCCCCCCCCCCCCCCCCCCCCCCCCCCCCCCCCCCCCCCCCCCCCCCCCCCCCCCCCCCCCACAACAAAAAAAAAAUGUCAUCAAAAUUGCGGCAAUUAUUCUCAGUGAUUCGGAAAACCCCGGAACUAAUUGGACCGGCGAGGCCUACAGCUCGUGUAAUAAAGCAACUAUCCAAUUUAGAUGACCAGCAAUGUGUAAGGUUUCAGAUUCCAAUGAUAUUCUUUUACAAGAAUGAUCCUUCGCCUGCAAUGGAAGGCAAAGACCCAGUUAAGGUCAUCAGGGAAGCCCUAAGCAAGGCGCUUACGUUUUAUUACCCUCUAGCUGGGAGGCUUAAGGAAGUGUCCAAUCGCAAGCUAAUGGUGGAUUGCAAUGGUGAAGGCGUCUUGUUUACAGAAGCUGAAGCUAACAUCACACUUGAGCAGCUUGAGGUUGGUGAUGCAGUUCGGCCACCGUGUCCAUACUUGCAUGAAUUACUGUAUAAUGUUCCAGGCUCUGAAGGCAUCCUUGGUUGCCCAUUGUUGUUAAUUCAAGUAAGUCAGCUUCACUAGCAACUUCAUUCAUAAUUGCUUCUAUAUAUAUAUAUAUAUAUAUAUAUAUAUAUAACUUCAGAGACUUUGAACUAAUUACUCAGUUAAUCAACGUAUUUUAAAGAGCUAUUUUUAUAUUUUUCAAAUGUUUUCAUAUUUAAAAUGUUAGGUGCAAUUACUAUGGAAAUAAUAACUGUAGGAACAUCUUAAGUAAUUUUCUAAAGGCAAAUUUCCUCUUAGUUCCGAUGAUUUGGAACAAUUAAUUACCCAUUUAGUCUUGUAUAAUUAAUUGUAGGAAAAUUAUUUCUUAAUCACCUCAAAAUAUCAAAAGUAUAAAUGGCAACCACGAGCUUUUGAUAAUAUCUCAGAGCCAUCAGAAGUUUUAGUUUAAUUUAUAUGAACUAAUUACUUUUUCAUUAACUCUAUUAACGCACAUUAAAAAAUAUAAGAUAAAAGAUUAUUUUGUCCUUAAAUUCUUUGAAGAAGGUAAAACAAUGCUUUGGGAUGGUCUAGGGAUAAAAUAUUACUUUAUUUUAAGUUAUUUAUCUGUGACUAACAAAGUUAAAAAAAAAAAAGUGACUGAUUAAUAUAAAAUAAUACUUUAGGUGGUUCUACAAUAUUAUCAUAUAUACAUUGUCGUUUUUUGCAUUUUUAAUAUUCUUGAAGUGGUUGAAGGAUAAUUUUCUUUAAUCAUACGUAUGAAAUUAAUCAAAAGUUCUAUAUCGUUACUUCUAUAACUAUGAACUCUGACUGUUCAUGAGCAAAAUGGUGUUUUUCUCUAAUAUAUUUUGAAACUCAAAUAAAUCUAAUACGCAACCCUAAAAUAGGAAUUAUUAACUAGGUUGUAACAGCGAUAAAAGAGUAUUUAUUCAUUUUGAACUUAGGGACUAAAGAGAAACGUACCCUUAUUAUGGUGACAGGCAAUAUUGAAUAAGUAUCUUUUUCUGAUUUUGACUUUGACUUGUCUUUCUGAGACCUAACUAUUCAUGUUAUUCUGAAUGAGCUACUUUGCGAGACUCACGUGCAUCGGCCGAGGCCACAUCCAAAAAGCCAACCAUACGUAUACCACAAGGAAGUCCUCUGUCACCCGUUCUAGAUAACAUCUACCUUCAUGACCAUAAUUUAUUUUUUGAUUUCUUAAUUUAAAACACAUAGAAAUGUACCAAAGAGUGAGAUAACACUUCAAAAGACAUGGAAAAUGUAAAAUGAGUGUAGUGGAUACGAGUCAACAUUACGUCUUACUUAACCUUUGAAUUUUGUAUUUGUUUUCCACUGCGUAAUAUAUAGGUGACCCGUUUGGCAUGUGGAGGAUUCAUUCUCGCAUUGCGCUUGAACCACACAAUGUGCGACGCAUUCGCUUUGUUGCAGUUCAUGAAAGCCAUUGAAGAUAUGGCUAAGGGCGCAAAUGAACCAUCAUUGCUGCCUGUUUGGGAACGUGAACUCCUAAGUCCUAGAAUCCCACCAAAAAUCACAUGUACCCACCAUGAAUACGAUGACCAAACAGAUUCCACUUUGGCCAUGAACCCAAAUGAUCAUAUCAUAAACCAUAAAUCAUUCUAUUUUGGCCCCAAAGAAAUCACAGCAUUAAGAAACCAACUCCCACAACAUCUUAGAGACGGCUGCUCAACAUUUGAGCUAUUAACCGCUUGCAUAUGGAGGUGCCGUACUAUGGCACUACAAAUAGACCCCGAUGAGAUAGUUCGAGUUACAUGUUGUGUUAACAUCCGAGGCACAAAAUAUAACAUGAUGCUACCUAAUGGAUAUUAUGGGAAUGCAAUUGCAACCCCAACAGCAUGUUCAACGGCCGGAGAUUUGAGUAAAUAUUCAUUGGCAUAUGCUGUGGACCUGGUAAAGAAAGUGAAGGCUACAGCGAGUGAAGAGUAUGUAAGAUCUUUGAUAGAUUUUAUGGAGAUCAGAGGCCGACCGAUGCCUGCCGUAAAGGGAAGCUUUGUUGUUUCAGAUAUAACUCGAGGUGGUUUUGAAGAGGUCGAUUUUGGGUGGGGGAAACCUGUGUAUGCUGGACCUCCUGAGGCUGUGUUGUUCAUGAGCUUCUAUAUCAAGUAUCAAAAUAAAGAUAGUGGAGAAUAUGGGACUUUGGUGCCAAUAUGCUUGCCGUUGAGAGCUAUGGAGAAGUUCGAAGAAGAGCUAAAGAAAAUGACUCUCCAAUGACCCAAGGCCACCUUGAUGUAGGAAGAAGUAUAGGGGUCAAAUAAAUUAAAAAUUAUCUUUGUUGAGUAUAACUAUUAUAUAUAUUAUUGGAACUUAUCUUAUUUCGGGAUUUAUAUUUGAGUCAGAUUAUAAUUCC